Molecule: long non-coding RNA, 80588 nt
Filed under: Citrus sinensis (sweet orange)
Lineage: Eukaryota; Viridiplantae; Streptophyta; Magnoliopsida; Sapindales; Rutaceae
Description: long non-coding RNA (CSIN_LNC000029)
Source: RNAcentral
UUUUUUUUUAAUAAUGUCUAAAAAAUUAUUAUAAUAGGGCAAUAUUAUAAAAAUAAGUUAAAAGGAACAAAAGAUAAUGGCAAAAGUGUCAAUAAUUUAAUGGUAGGAAUGGUUUGAGGUAUUUUUAAAAAUAUAGGGACUAAACGGACACUAACUUCAAAAUAUAGGGACUAAACGAGCUGUAAACUUGCCCCCCCGAAAAAAAAAAUCCCAUCAAGUAAUCAACCUCUUGAACAGAAAAGCCUGAGAUUUCAAAAACUGAACAUAGAAACUUGACAUUUUCUUAUAUGCACGAUCAAGAUCAUUAUGUACACUGACAAAAAACCAGAGAAAACUCAUGCAUGAUUGGGUUUCAUCUACAAACACAAUUAACCAACAAGUAAUUUUUAAAAAAAUUAAUUUCUUCAAGCGGAAAAGAAACCGUCAAAAGCAGUAACUGUAAUCUGGCUCUUAGGCUUCAAUACCCACUUGACAAAUUUUCUGAUCUCUUUACUUUUUAACAAUUGAGAUGCUCUGAAGAAGGCUCAUGAUGAACUAGACAUUCAUGUUGGUGCAAAUAGGCAAGUGAAUGAAUCUGACAUUAAAAAUUUAGUUUACUUGCGGGCUAUCCUCAAGGAAACAAUGCGUUUAUAUCCGGUUGUGCCACUUUAACUACCUCACCAGUCGAUGGAAGACUGCACUGGCAGUGGUUACCAUGUCCCUCAUGGAAACAAUGCAUUUAUAUCCGGUUGCGCCACUUCAACUACCUCACCAGUCGAUGGAAGACUGCACCGUCAGUGGUUACCAUGUCUGUGCAGGCACGCAACAUUUUGUUAAUGCUUUGAAGGUUCAUCAUGACCCAAAAGUUUGGCAGGAGCCUUGAAAAUUUCUGCCAGAAAGAUUUCUUACAACACACAAGGAUAUUGACUUAAGGGGACAAAACUUUGAAUUGAUACCAUUUGGCAGUGGUAGAAGAAUAUGUCCUGGAAUUUCAUUUGCCUUUCAAGUUAUGCCACUAACCCUUGCUUAUCAAUAUUCUUAAUUAUGUAAAUCAUAUUUUUUAUUAAUUUUAAAUUUAAUUAUGUAAAUUAAAAAUUAUUAAUAAGAGCAACACAAAUGAAACAUUAUUAUUAAUAAUAUAGUACAAAAUUAAUAUUUUCUUAUAAUAAACUAUUUAUUAUUAUUAAUUAUUAAUAUUAAAUAAAUAUAAUAUUAUUAUUUAUUUUAUUUUAUUAAAUAUAAAUUAUUAAAUUUAAUAAAAGGAGGGUAGAAAAGGAAGAGGUGGGAGUGUCAUGAGAGUCCCACUCCCACUGCCCACUCCAAAAAUAGGUGGAGCCCACGAAGUGGGAUUCUAAAUUCUCUCUUAAAAUGUUAAAGUAAAUAUUGGAGUGGAAGAAAUUCACAUUUCUCACUCUCACUUCAAAAAGUAAACACAACGAAAGAGUAGAUAACCUUUGUGUUUUAAAAAUUUCAAAAACUUAGAAAGGGCAUUUCAGGUAAUUAAUAAUAAAUGGAUUAUUAAAUAAGGGUUGAGAGCUACAAUAUAUGUAAAUCCACACUUUAUGAAGAAAUAAUUUAUAAAAAAUCACAUUAUUUUUCAAAAUUUAAAAUAAAGAGAAAGUUUAGCAAUUAAUUAAUUUUAUCCAAUUCUUUACAUAAGUCUGUUGACCAUAGUUGAUCACUAAUGUUGUUUAAACAUAAUUUAAUUUGAGUAUAUUUUAUCCGAUAACAAAAAAAAAAAUCAAAUUGUCCAAAAUAUAUCUGCUGUACGGCCAAGGCGGAUGUACGGUACAGCAGUUUAUGAUAAAUAUUUGUUGAAUAUCGGUACAUAUAAAGGAGUAAAAGAACACAUAUAUCAAAACACGUAAUAUCAAAACUCUUAGAGAAACACAUAUAUUUAACAAAUAAGCUUAUGAUAUAAAUUAUUAAAAUUAAACCAUAAAAUAAUUAUUAUGAAAUUAUUUUUUUAUUGAUAGAGAAUGUCAUAUAUUUGAAUUAUUUAAUAUAAUUAGAAGAAAAAAAGUAAAUAUGACUGUGAAGUUAAAAGUCAUGAAAGUUAUAGUUGAAAAUGUUGUUAAUUGUUAUUGUGUUCCAUUUUGCAAUUAGACCAAACCAUAUAUUCAUAUAUAUGGUGAUGUUCCAUUUUCUAAUACUAGUGACAAUGUUAUAACAUAGUUACUAUAUUCCAUUUUGCAAGUUUCUAAUACUAGUGACGAUGUUAUAAUAUAUAUUGAUAUAUGUUUCUUUCAAUUAGAUCAAAUCAUAAUAUUUUUUAUAAUAAGUUAAAGCAAUAAUAAAAUUUUUACCUCCUAAUGAUUUCAAUUAGUUCAAGAAAUAUAAAAUUAAAUCAUUUUAUAAAACAAAUCUCUAACUCCUAUUGAAAGAAAAAAUAUAGUUGAAUGAGGGACAAAAUUAAAAAUAAAAUAUAAACUCUAUUAUUUUAUGAAAUACUUAGUUUUCAAUUAAUGUUUUCUAAAUGUCCCCUUAUUUGUCCUUUAAUGUAGAUUGAAUCAUUAGUUGGUCAGAAUUUAAAAUCUUGACAACUUUUAAUUUUGGCUCUAAUAUAAGCUUACAAAUGUAGGCAUGUAGCUUGCUGUUAGAUUUGGUUAUGCGCUGAUAAAUUUUUUAACAAGUGAAAAAGAGAAAAGAGAGAGAAAUUACCUUAAUUUGAUAAGGAAAUUAGCAAAUAAGAGGAAGAUAAGAUAAUUUACGGUAACAAAUAAAUGAUAAAUUCUGAUUUUUUAGAGAAAAAAAAGAGUAAAAUAUGUACUAAUGGAGCGUUUACAUUUUGGAUUGGAGUGGUAAUCCUAUGAUUGAGAGUGUGGAGUGGGAGUGGGAGUGGGAGUGGGAGUGGGAGUAGAUUGUUUACUUACAGUGGAAUGGAAGUAUGGAAUGGAGAUUAGAAUCCAAUUUAUGUAUUUACUUUAUCUUGGAUUUGGAGUAAAUAAUUUCAAAUUACAAUUUUACCGUUAUUUAAAAAAUUAUAGCUUUUAAUUACAAAGUUAAUAAAAAAUAUAUUUGAUAAAUAAAAUUUUAUUAUUAUUUUUCAAAUUAGGGUGGAAGUUCUGACUAAGAUUUGGAGUGUAGAGUGAGAUUGAGAGUAAGCUCUUUACUUACAUUGGAAUAAGAAUAUGAAAUAAGAAUUAGAAUUCCAUUUAUAUGUUUAUUUUGUGUUGCAUUUGGAUACUUUGUCUUGGAUUGGAGUGAAUUGUUUAAAUUACAAUUUUACCAUAUAUAAAGAAUUUUAGGUUUUUAAUUACGAAGUGAAAAAAUAUAUUUGUAAAAUAAACUAUUUAUUUUAUUAUUAAUUUUAAUUACAUAAAUUAGUAAUUAUUAUCAAUAUUCUUAAUUAUGUAAAUCAUAUUUUUUAUUAAUUUUAAAUUUAAUUAUGUAAAUUAAAAAUUAUUAAUAAGAGCAACACAAAUGAAACAUUAUUAUUAAUAAUAUAGUACAAAAUUAAUAUUUUCUUAUAAUAAACUAUUUAUUAUUAUUAAUUAUUAAUAUUAAAUAAAUAUAAUAUUAUUAUUUAUUUUAUUUUAUUAAAUAUAAAUUAUUAAAUUUAAUAAAAGGAGGGUAGAAAAGGAAGAGGUGGGAGUGUCAUGAGAGUCCCACUCCCACUGCCCACUCCAAAAAUAGGUGGAGCCCACGAAGUGGGAUUCUAAAUUCUCUCUUAAAAUGUUAAAGUAAAUAUUGGAGUGGAAGAAAUUCACAUUUCUCACUCUCACUUCAAAAAGUAAACACAACGAAAGAGUAGAUAACCUUUGUGUUUUAAAAAUUUCAAAAACUUAGAAAGGGCAUUUCAGGUAAUUAAUAAUAAAUGGAUUAUUAAAUAAGGGUUGAGAGCUACAAUAUAUGUAAAUCCACACUUUAUGAAGAAAUAAUUUAUAAAAAAUCACAUUAUUUUUCAAAAUUUAAAAUAAAGAGAAAGUUUAGCAAUUAAUUAAUUUUAUCCAAUUCUUUACAUAAGUCUGUUGACCAUAGUUGAUCACUAAUGUUGUUUAAACAUAAUUUAAUUUGAGUAUAUUUUAUCCGAUAACAAAAAAAAAAAUCAAAUUGUCCAAAAUAUAUACUUCUGUGACAUAAGUUGAAAAAAUUAAAAUUUGGAAUGUAUGCUGUAUCUUUUUCCCAAAUUUUGUAUUGAUAAUCCCAGAUUAGGGCAUGGAUUGAAAACUCCCCAAUUUUGAGUUACAAAUCCCCAAUUCGAUGUGGGCAUUAACUACAAAUCCCCAAUUUAAAUAAACUCUUAUUUAAAUAAGAGUGAGUUUGAUUGAAUUUCGGCUUAUAAAUUAAAACAAUGCAGUUUGGGAAUGAUGUGCUUCCAAGAGGCUCUCUUUUGUCUCAAAGAGACGGCCACCUUAAUUUUAUACUUAUUCGAUGCAACCAAAAAAUAAGGCCACUUUAAUUUAUUCAGUUUGAAUAAAAUCAAUUCCACCAACCGAGAUCCCAUUCACUGUCGUCAACAUUAAUUGAAUUGAACAAGCUAAUUCAAAGAUAUGCACGCGUUUUAUUUCUGUUAAGGGGAAAAUGUCAAUAAAUCUAUGGGCUAUCUGAGUAAUCGAUUUCAGUUGCCGAAACCAGUACGAGUCUAUUCACUAUGGUUUGAGGUGUUGUAGCUUAAAAAAAUUUGUAUUUAUGAAAAAAAUUAAUAAUAAAUAAUAAAUAUAAAUUUUAAAUAAUAAUUUUGACAAAAUUAUUAAAGAUAUAAUAUAUUUUCUAUUAUAUAAGUGAAAAAUCAUAUCAACAUAAUUUCUAAAGUACAGUAGGUAGUGUUUACCAAAUACUUUAAUGUUGUAUCUUUUAAGGUACAGUUGCCUAAUCUUAAUCUCAAACGUACCAUAUAUCUUACUACAUUAAAUAAAAAAAAAUACUAGUCUGAUUUUAAUACUAAUUUGCAAAGCCCCCUCUAUUGGCGGUUCAAAUUUUGUCGACUAGAAUUGUUCUUACAUGUUAUCCACCUCAGGCAUUCAAACAAUUCACAUUCUCAAUUAAUCAAUUAACUAAAUAAAUUGACUUGUAUAAAUCAAAAAUGCUAAAAUUGUAAAUGUAAGCCUUACUAGCCAUUUCACUUGAAUAAAUUGGAAAGGACUUCUGAAUUGAUCAAUUAAUCAAAAAGACAGCGUAAAUGUUUAAACGAGGAGUAGCGUGUGACACGUAAGCCUUAAUUAAUCAAGUAAUUAAUUGAUAAAAAAAAGUUAACAAUAGAUGUAUGUGGCACACACAUGAGCCUUGAAGGAGCCAAGACCAUAUUUUAUUCACACAACUUGAUUAAUUCUCUUCCAUGCUAAGUUCAAAGCCAAAAUUAAUUAAUACAACUUUGGACCAUCGAUCUCUUCUUUGAAGCAAGAAUUUUAAUUGGAUUAAGAAACGACACUAAUAUUAAUUGAACGAUUUUGAUGAUGAAAACAAUGAGUUCAUCUAAGAUUGAGACUUUUAAUUAAUUUGAAGCUAUUAAUUUUUGGAGUUGGACUAUUGGCACUCUCUAAAAAUCGUUUAAAUCUUUUUUUUUAAUUAUCUUAUUAAAAUAUUUUAAAUAAUAUAAAUUUCUUAUGACUCCUCUUAAUUAAAAUUCAUUCUUAUAUAACCCCACUCUUACAAUUUUUUUUAGUAUUGUUCAAGCGUCUUAUGAUGUCAACAGCCUUUUUCUUUCCUUAUCUAUUUUUUCAAUUCUUAGUAAUACAAAAUAUAUUCUUCUUACUGACUUACUCCAUGUUAACACAAACUCUUGUUACCGCUUAUUUUCUCCUCAAUUAAGUCCAUUCAUAAGUGGUAAAAGAGUUUCCAUUAUAAAUGCUUUCAACUUCAAAGAUUUGAAAAUUUUAUUAUAAUAACUUCUAUUUUCAACACAAAAGCAAUUCAACCUAAUGUUGAGUUCUUCAUCGUGCUUCCAUUGGUGAAUGCACAUGUGCUCUAUGCCAUGCUACACCCUAGAGAAAGAAUGAAAACAAAUUCAAUUUUUGUAAGAAAAAUUACUGCUACAGUCACAAAAUUUGAAAAAAUAGUCACAAAGACACCUAAAUUUUUAAAAGGAAAACACCAAAAACUUCCUUUUAACUAUUAUAUCAUUUGAAUUUAGUAUUUAGAAAAUUGACUUUGAAGUUUUUUAAUUAAUACAGAUUUAAUAGAAAUAAUAUAAUCAAUCUAGUAAACUACCAAUAUUAAGUUAUUUUUAACAUUUAAAAUAAUAUUAAAUUUUAUUUAAUAUUAUGUUUCUAUUUAUUAUAAAAUUUUGGGGUUAAUUUUUUUAAUUUAUAGAGUUAAAGCAUAUUAUGGUCAGAAGCGGAUCUUGGUGUCCCUUAUUAAAAACUUGGGGGCCUUUGUGACUAUUUUUCCAAACUUUAGAGGGUAGGUGUCUUUUUUUCUUUUUUUAUAUAUAAAAAGAUAAAUUUAUUUAAUUAAGAAUUAAAAAAAAAAGUGCGUGUGAUGGUAAGGGAUCCAACUCUAAUUUUUAUUUAUCAAGCAACGAUAAAGACUAUGGCGAAGCUUUUUAACACACUUUAGUGUAAUUUAUAAAAUACUAACUUAUAAAAUAAAAAUCAAUCAUCUUGUCAUAAAUUUUAACUUAAAAAUAAUUCUAAAUUUUUAAAGAUUUCACAAAAGAAAAAAAAAAUCUUCAGUUGAUGUUUAAAAUAUAAAUAUAAGGGAAAAUUAUAGCUACACUCUCAAGGUUUAGAGAAACAAACAUGAAGAACCUAAACCUUCAAUAAGAGACAUUAAGACUUCUUCUAACCAUAAUACCCUUUGGUUCUAUUAAAUUGACUCCAAUGUUUUACAAAAAAUAGAAAUACAAUAUUAAAAUAGACAUAAUAAUAUGUACACUUUAUAUAUUUAAUAUUAAAAAAUACUUUAUUAUUUUACAAUCUACUAGAAAAAUUAAAUUAUUUAUAUUAUAUUUGUUAUAUUUAUUAAAAACGUUAAAUUUUUUAUUUACUAUAUUCAAAAGAUAUUAUAGUAAAACAAGAUCUUUGUGUUCCUUAUUGAAAAUUUAGAGGUCUUCAUGACCAUUUCUCUAAACUUUGUGGGUAUAAUUAUUCUUUUCUCUAAAUAUAAAUUAUGAAAUGUGGUGGGUGUAAUAUAUAAUUAAAAGAAAAUUUAUUUUAGCAUUUAAUUGAAUUUUGAUUAAAAAAAAGAACUAAUUUAUCUUUAGUUAUUUAGGUAAUUUUGUUUAAAGAGGGGUUUAAGGAGAUUUAGAGGAGUGUCAAAAGUAAUUAGUUUUUUUUUUCAUCGUUUGGAAUUUUGAUUCUCUUCUAGUUUCGUUUCUCAUUAUGAGAUUUUUCUGGCCAUCUAAUAUAAUUUAUCUAGAUUAUAAGUUAUUAACAACAAAACACCUUUAAUACAUACUUUUGAGAACUAAAAUGAUAAAAGAAGAGAAAGUCAAAGAAAAUCAAGACUACAACUUUCAAUAAAUAAAUAACUUUAUUUACAUGGAACUAAUAUCUAUUAUUCUCAUAUUUAAUCUAAUUUUUUUUAUAAUUGUCUGAGUACUGAAAUCAAAUACAAAAUGAGAAAAGAGGGAAUUGAACGAAAAAAAAAACAAAGAAAAUAAAUUUACAUGGGUUAUAGAUUAUGAGAGUUUAUUUGAAUGAAGAAGAAAGAUGGGUGUCCCCCCCCCCCCCCAAAANNNNNNNNNNNNNNNNNNNNNNNNNNNNNNNNNNNNNNNNUAAAAUCGAAUAAAGAAGAAAGUGGAGAUUUAAUUAGGUAGGGUUGGCAAAAAAGUCCGGGUCAGACUAAGCCCACAGGCUUGAGGCUCGGCCCGCAUCAUGGAAAUGAGCCCAAAAAUAAGCCCACUCUGAAUGCCCCUUGUUAGUACGGGUGGGCAUUUGGUUCGAACCGAACUGAACCAAACCGAACUAUAUUAUAGUAAUUUGGUUCGGUUCAGUUCAUGUUAUAAAAGUAAAUGGUUCAAAUUUUCUGAACCAUUUGGUUUUUAAUUUGCUGAACCAAAUGGUUCAGUAAAAGAAUUGAAAUUAAAAUUAAAAAAAAAAGGAAAGUGAAAAGUGAAAACCUAAGCUAACUAAAACACACAUUUCACUAUUUCAAAUUAAAUCACACAGCCACAUAAGCAAUUAACCACCCACCAUCUGAAACUCUUUUUCUCUUUGCCGGCCACUACACACGAGUAAUCAGCCACCGCUCAUCAUCCCCACCGUCAUUAGACUCAUCAUCAUCGUCGUCAGCCUGUCACGGAUUCAUCCAUCGUGCUUGUGCCACACGCUGCAACUUUCAGUCCAUUGAGCUUCAGUCAGCAGACUCGGCACCAUCUCUCACUCUUGUUCACCGUCAGCCACACCUUCCUCACGCCAUCACCGUCGCUGGUCUUGCCAAACUGCUGUCAAGGACUCAAGGUGCGUGAGACAGCCAAUUACUUCUAAUUUGUUUUAAUCUUUGCUCUAAUAUCAUGACCGAACCGAACUGCUAUCAAUAAUUGUAUUGUAAUUUGUCAAACUAUCUUGGGCCCUUAAUAAUAUGUAAUGGAUUAGCUUAAUAGUUAAUAGCUUGUAGAAACAGCCACUAAUUUAAUCGAAUUAGUAAUAAAAAUUUGUAGUAAUACCUAGUGAUAUAAUUGAAUUAUUAUUAAAAAUUAGUUAGUAAUGUCCACUGAUUUAGUCAAAUUAAUUUAUGGUUUACAAUGUUACAAUUAGUUAAGUGAUAGAAUUAUAGAAUAAAUUAAUUCGUAAAAGUUAAAUGGGGUUGACCUUCCGUAGUUGACUAUUGUUUGCAAUAUUUUCAGAUGGUUGCUUCUUCAAAGGUCCAAGACAAUAUUGAAUCCUGAAGCAAUGAAUCUGACCGUGAAACUGAAGUUGAAAAUGAUUCGUUAACAUUAUCCAAUAGUAGUGGAACAAAGAGAAAAAGAGCUUCAAUACCCAGAAAAGCAAUGUUGCCAAGAUCCGAGGUGUGGCAACAUUUCACUAUAUUGCCAAGUGAUGCAAAAAAGUGCACAUGUAACCAUUGUGGUGUAGAAUUUCGUAUAGGGCACGAGACUAGCACUUUAAAGACUCACUAUCAAGAUAGGUGCGAUAAAUAUAAGAGCUUCGAGAAGGAUCAAACAGUUUUAACUAAAGAUGUUGGUAGUGAAGAUCUUUUGGCAAGGGGGUUUAGUUAGGAUGCUUGUAGACGCGCAACUGUAAAAAUGAUUGUUUUUUAUGAAUUUCCAUUUUCUGUUGUAGAGAAUCCAGGAUUUAAGCAUUUUUGCAGUGUGAUUGCUCCUAGGUAUAUUCUUCCAUCACAGAGAACUAUUACUAGGGAUACUCUUGAUUUGUUUGUGGAAGAGAAGACUAAGUUAAAGAGCUUAUUGGUCGGGAAUAAGCAAAGAGUGUCUUUGACCAUCGAUAUUUGGAUUUUUAUUAUAACAGCUAGCUAUAUGGUCUUCACAACUCACUUUAUUGACACAGAUUGGAGCUUACAUAGAAGAAUUAUUAGUUUUAAUAUCGUUAAUGAUCAUACAUCAGAGACGAUUGGCAAGAAACUUAAAAAAAUGUUUGAUUGAUUGGGGUAUAGAGCCAGUCUUUGCAGUAACUGUAGACAAUGUAAGUGCAAAUGAGGGUGCCGUUAGGUAUUUAAAGGAUAGAUUGAGCACGUGGAGAGAUGAUUCUUUAGUGUUGAAUGGGGAUUAUAUGCAUGUCUGUUGUUGUGCACACAUUUUGAAUUUGAUAGUUAAUGAAGGGUUGAAAGAAAUGGAUGCGAGUAUAGUUAGUGUUCGUAAUGCCAUGAAGUACGUGAGAUCUUCCACUGCAAGGAUGCAAGCAUUUCAAAUUUGUGUGAAUCAAGAGAAGAUUAAUUGCAAGGGAAGUGUGAUUUUAGAUUGUCCUACAAGGUGGAAUUCCACUUAUAUGUUGAGUACGGCAUUGAAGUUUAAGUCAGCAUUUGAUCGAAUGGCAAAUGAAUAUAAGUUUUAUGAUGCAUAUUUCCGUGAGAAAGAAAAUGGGGAAAAAAAAAGGAUAGGACCACCAUUAAAUAGUGAUUGGGAAAGUGCUCGCCGCAUUUGUAAAUUUUUGAAGACUUUUUAUGAUGCUACUUUGCAAUUUUCUUCCUCUUUGAAGGUAAUAUCAAAUUUUUGCUAGAAUUUAGUUUGUCAAAUUAAUUAUUCUUUGGCUUUAAUAUCUAAUAGCAAUUUUUAUUUUUUUUUAGUUGACAUUAAAUCUUUGCUACAAUUUGAUAUGUCAAAUUGAAUCUACUUUGAAAUCCUUGUGUAAGAGCAAUGAUUCUGAUUUGAGUGCCAUGGCAACUAAAAUGAAGGACAAAUUUGACAAGUAUUGGGAGGGCACAAUCAAGAUAAACAAGAUGUUAAUUGUUGCUUGUGUACUUGAUCCACGAGGCAAAAUGAAAUUCGCAACACAUUGCUUCGAGGAAUUGUAUGGCCAGGAUAGUGGCAAAUGUAGUGAGAUGAAAGAAAUGGUAAAAGACUUGUUUGUUAAACUUUUUGAGUCUUAUAGUGCACGGUACUCUAAACCCAGUGGAGUUGGAAGUGCAAGUGCAAGCAAAAGUGCAAGUGCGAGCCAACAUUUUGGGAGUGGUUGUGGUUUGACUUCUUGAGAGUUGGAUGAUAUUGAUGAUGUUGCGAUCGAGGACCCUUUUCUCCUAAUUUAGUAAGAAAGUUACUGUUAGUGAAGAUAAUGCGGAAUUAUUAAAUGAAUUGGAGCUAUACUUGAUGGAGAAGACUGAAAAAAUUGCACCAAAAAAUAAUUUGGGAGCUAAAUUUGAUAUUUUGUUAUGGUGGAGGGUGAAUAGUUCGAAUUAUCCGAUCUUGGCAAAUAUAGCAGGAGAUGUCAUCGUUGUUCCAGUGUCUACUGUUGCAUCGGAGUCCGCCUUUAGUACCGGAGGUAGCAUACUAGAUCAAUAUAGAAGCUCAUUAACUCCGGACAUGGUUGAAGCAUUAAUAUUGACACAAAAUUGGUUGCGAUCAUCUCUUUUCUUGGAUGCGACAACAAAUCUUAAUCAGUUAGUUCAAGAAAAUGAGUUCAUGGACCAACUUUCAGAAGGUACGUUGUGUCAAUUUAAAUUUAAGUUUAUUUUUAGUAGUUUUGGACAAUUUUAAUUUGUUUUAACUUUUGUUUAUUUAGAGUUUCGUAAAUCAACAACUGCGGACCAUUUUGGUUUUGGUGUUCUACAUUGAGUCAUUGAGACUUUGGUUUAAUAUGAAGAAUAAUAGGUAAUGAAGUUAAUUUUUUUUUUGCUAGUUAGUAAAUGUGAUUAUAUUUAUAUAUGUCAUAGCAUAUAUUUUAAUUUAUUCUAUUUAAUUGUUGGUGCUUGGUUAAUGAUUUAUUUUGACUUGGAGAUAUAAUAUAGGCAUUGUGGAUGUGGAAAGAUGAAGAGGUGGCGAUAGAAAGAGUGCUUUGUUGGCCAUGGAAGUUUGAAGUUUCUUUUGUAAUAUGUAUUGGAUUUUUAAAUUAUUGUUGGAUUUUAUGAUGUUAAUUUACUAUUGUUAAUUUUGUUAUGUUAUUUAUUGUGUGGAUUUCUAGAUUUUUUUUUGGAUUUUAUUAUGUUAAUCUACUAUUGUUAGAUUUUUUAUGUUUAUUAUUUGUGGAUUUAAUAGACUAAGGAUUAUUGAUUUAUUGUUGUUUUAAUAGUGUAUUACCAUUAUAUCAUUUUAUUAAAUAAUGAAUAUAUAGGUUGAAACCAAACCAAAUUACCGAACUGAACCAAAUCAGUUCAGUUUUAUAAUUUGGUUCAAAAAUUCAUGAACCAUUUGGUUUCAGUUUGAUUCAGUUCGAGGCCUGAACCGAACCAAACCUAAUAGUGCCCACCCCUACUUGUUAGGGGUGGAAAUAAUACCCGUCCGGUCCGGACCUUGACCGCACCCGGGCAUUUUAGGUCAGGUAUGAAGCCGGGCCGGUCUUAAGCAUCACUUGAUAAACCAAGAACUCAAAUUUUAUUAAAAAAAUAUUAUAAAAUAUAUAUUAUUUUAAAUAUUUAUAUUUAUUUGACUCAUUUAUUAUACAUAUAUAAAGUUUUAAACACUUAAAGUUCAUAUUUUCAUGUCAAAUUUUAUUAAAAUAAAUUUAAAAUUUAUAAAAUUACUAAAAAAUAAAAAAUAUACAGAUAUAAUAUUAAAAAAUAUAAAAUCUGGGUACCCGAAUUAAAGUCCGGCACAACCCGGCCCAGACAUAUAUUGCAUCCGGGUCGAGUCCGAUCAUUGUGAUACCCAAAGUUUUGCCAACUCUAGCCCUGGUUAAGGGCUUUUGCAAAAAGGCCGGGCUUUAAUUUAUAAAUUAAAAAAUUUUAAAAAAAAUAAAAUAUUCUUUUUCAUUGAAAGAGUUGAAUCCCUCAUUCCAUUUUGAAUUAACAUCCUUUUUAAUAAACAUGAGUCUUGAGCUUCUGCAUAAAUUACAAUACAUAAACGUAGUUAAUAUCUAAAAUAUAAAUAAUUUUAAUUUACAAUAAUAAAUAAUAAAAAGAAGAGAAAAAGAAAUACAAAUAUUUGCUUAGAGGUGACCGGCCAAGUCCAUUCAAGGGAGCAAUUAAUAUUUUUUUGUUUAAUAAUAAUAAUCAUCUUAAUUUAAGUGUUUUCGUUAACUUAUAGUUUAAUUAAAAAUUUAUUUAACAAAAUUAUGGAAGGCCCAAGCCCUGCCCAGAUCCGCUCAAAUUGAAUGGGCUUUCCAGGGCUUGGACCAAGUAUCAAUUCUAUGGGCUGGGCCUAGGCUUUGAGAAAGCCCAGCCCAAACCAACAAAUUACCAACCCUAUAAUUAGGUGACUAGUUUCAGAGUUAACGUCUGUUAGCAUUUGCGUUAACGGUUUUAAUUUUAAUAGAGCUUUCGGUUUUUGUGUAGGGAGACACAUAAUCCAAAUUUAAUUAAAUGGACUGGAUUUAUUAGAUACUAGAUAGGCCUUAAAAUGGAGUUGGAGCGAAUCUAGAAUUUUGAUGAAUGGACCCAAGACCGGAGGUAGAUACGUGGAUAUGAUAAGGCCCGGUUCAAGAUUCAUAUCCAAUAAUAUUCCUUUAAUUUUAUUUUUUUAAAUCAAUUACAGUAAUAAUAAUUUACUCCAAAAUAUUUACAUAUCAAUUUAAGAGAGGCCAUAUUUCUUCAUCACAUCUUCGCCAGCUGCCGCUCGUCACUCACUCGCGGUUCGAGCUGUCAGGGUCAGGCAUAGUAAUUUUGAAAAUUAUCUGUCUCUUCUGGCACGUGCUGGAUGCGUGAGAUUGGAAAUUUGGAAUCACCUUGCAAUAAAUUCAAAGUGCUCUUCCUGACUCUUACUUUUCGAUUGCUGGGUGCUUAGAUAUGUAUUUAUGAAGUUGCUUUCUUUACUAACACUUAUCCAAAAUUGUUAGGUUUAGACUUUUCUUUUCACUGUUCUAAAGACGUGCUUUGUAUUUUAUAAUAGCAAUUAGUUAUUCUCUGAUUAAUUUGACGUGCAUGGUUGGUUACUUGGUUUGAUAGUUGGAUGUAAUUAACAAUUUAAUUGAUUGGGAGGAAAAAAAAUUAAAACGAAGCCUAGGUAGUCAUUCAAUGUACAGUUGCUAGUUAAUUCAGGUGGAAAUUAUAAAAUCUAGUAAAAUCAGAUGAAAAUUGUAAAAUCUAAUAAAAUUAAGUGAAAAUAAAAAUAAAAUUGCUGUAACUAUAAUGUUCGAACCGAACUGAACUGAAUUAAAUUAAAUUUAAUUUCAUAAUACAGUAGAACCUCCAAUAGAAAUAUUCUAUAUAAGAAUAGCUUGUUCAUAGUAAUAAAAAAUUGUGAUUCCAAUUUGCGACCAGUUAUAAUUAAAAAUAAACUCCACAUUGUAAUAAGUUAUAUUCUUUGUAAGUUCCGUCUUAAUAAACUUACCUCUACAUAAUAAUAAUAUUUCAAAAAUAUAUGCCAUGUUACAUUAAAUAAUUAAGAUGGAACAAAAUAUCUUUCUAAAGUUGCUUGUGACAAUGAUUUGUUCUUUAAAGUUACAACUACAUUUUUCAACUUGCGGGUAUAUAUUAAUUGGUUAACAUAGACACUUAGUAAUUGGUCAGCAUACACACUUAAUAAUUGGUCAAUAAAAUAAUUAAUUUAUUAAUGUAUAUAUAUUAAAUUUGACUCACUUAUUAAUUUAUUAAUACAUGACAUUAUUUACCUCUAUAUCACUUGCAUUAGGGAUAAUUAAGCAAAGACAAUAAUUUUUGUACUAUACAUCUAUUGAAUUAUAACAUUUUUAUAGGAAUAAAUUUCUCAAUUCCCAACAAUAUGACUAUAUAGAAGUUUUAGUGUAUUUCGGUACAAUUCAAAAAUUCGAUUUGAUUUAAGUUCUAUUCUUAAGAACCGAACCUUAUGGUGCCUACCCCUAGGUACUUGUACAUGAAUGAUAAGAUCUAGUUCAAGAUUCCUACCCAAUAUUCCUUUAAUUUUAUUUUUUAAAUUAAUAAUAGUAAUAAUAAUUUACUCUAAAAUAUUUUGAUAUCAAUUAAGAAAGACUAUAUUUCUUCAUCUCAUCAUCAAUAGAAAGAAAUGCCAACCAACUCAAUUUGAAAUUAAUUAUUUUUCUCAAUAUUAAUUUAUCAUCAUUGUUUCAAUGGUUAACAAUAGGGUAACGUUUGAUAGUCAUUCAGUCAAAGAAUGAGCAAAAAUUAUCCUUCAUAAUUCACAUUUAUAACCUAACAGAAAAAAAACAAAAAUGCAAGACUUUGGUUCCUGAGUCAUGAAAUUGGAUAGGAAAAUGAAAAAUAAAAUGACUUGGUCAUCGAAAUUUUAUGUUAGCCAUGGGUCAAAGUAGUAAACCGGCAUUUUCUAUGACUUUAGAAGCUUCCCUUGGUUUCACAAAGCAACAAACUGACUGGAAAAGUAAAAGUGUUUGAAUUUUGUUAUAUCUUAGACGAGUCUCUUCCUAGGUAUGGGAAUUAUUUGUAAAUAUUUUGUUUGAUUUAUAAGCUUGUCCUUAAUAGUACAAUUACUUUAUAAGUACUUUAGUUAUAUAAAAUUUUAUUAAAAUAAGUGUUUAAGGGUAUAUUACCAAUUUUGUAAUUAUCUUAUAAUCAUUGACUAGACGAAACUUUGACUGCAGACCUUACGCUACAUGCUCUUAAAUUAUAUCUAUGUACCAGACAUUGAUUUGAAGUAACCUCUUCAUUCAGAUCAGAGUCCCAGAGCCAGCAAAAAGCAAUUAGAAAUGGCCAUUCUUCUUACACUAGAAUCAACUGUUCUUGCAAUAAUUUCAGGUUUUGUAAUAUUUCUCUCACUUUUACUCUUGAUUUCACUAAAUGGGCGAACAAAAAAGACACAAGCUCCUCAUCAAGCACCAGUAGCUGCGGGAGCAUGGCCUUUGAUUGGCCAUUUACAUCUCUUCGGAGGGCAAGAGCCAACUCAUAGACUUUUGGGCGACGUGGCUGAUAAAUACGGUCCAAUAUUCACUAUGAAAAUGGGCUUGAAUCGAGCUUUAGUGGUCAGCAAUUGGGAAAUUGCCAAAGAAUGUUUCACCAUCAACGACAAACCCUUUGCAAAUCGUCCCAGAUCAAUGGCCAUGGAUCUCUUAGGGUACAAUUUUUUGGCCAUUGCUGCCAGCCCAUACGGCAACUACUGGCGAGAGUCUCGCAAGAUGGCCACCAUUGAGCUUUUAUCAAACAAUCAACUUCAGAAGCUGAAACAUGUACGAGAGUCUGAAGUGAAGGCUUCCAUCAAAGGGUUAUUCGAGAAUUGCAAAAGGAGCAGUUCACAUAAGGUUUCAGUGGAGAUGAAGCACUGGAUUGAGGGCAUUGUACUUGAUAUUAUCAUGAGAAUAAUUGCAGGAAAACGUUACACUUCACAAGACAGUUCUGAUUUUCAAGAGCAUGCGACCAACUUUUUUGACUUGUGUGGUAAGUUUGUGGUGUCUGACGCUUUACCGUUUCUGAGAUGGCUGGAUAUCGGCGGAUACGAGAAAUUAAUGAAGAAGACAGCUAAAGAAUUUGACCUCGUUUUCCAAGGAUGGUUGGAUGAGCAUAAGAGCAAAAGAGGUUCUAGCGAGGUUAAGGGAGAUGAAGACUUUAUGUAUGUGAUGCUGUCCUUGUUUGAUGACAAAGCAAAGCAGCUUCCUGAUGGCGAUGACACUGACACUGUUAUUAAAGCUAUAUGCCUGGUAUUGUCCUGAAAAAAAUUGUUGAUAACAUGUCAAUUGGCAAAGAGCUAUUUUAUAUGCAUAAUCGAUCUGACUCCUACUUUUGCAGUCUCUAAUCUUAGCAGCUUCAGACACUACCGCAGUAACAUUGACAUGGGCUAUCGCCCUACUUCUCAACAACCGCGAUGUUCUAAAGAAGGCUCAAAAUGAACUAGACGCUCAAGUUGGUACAAAUAGACAAGUGAAUGAAUCAGACAUGAAAAAUUUAGCUUAUUUGCAGGUCAUCCUCAAGGAGACACUGCGUUUGUACCCCGCUGGGCCACUUUUAGUACCUCACGAGUCUAUCGAAGACUGCACCAUCAGAGGUUAUCAUGUCCCUGCAGGCACACAACUUAUUGUUAAUGCUUGGAAGGUUCAGCGUGAUCCGGGAGUUUGGGAGGAGCCUUGUAAAUUUCUGCCAGAAAGAUUUCUUAAAAAAUACAAGGACGUUGAUCUGAAGGGACAGAAUUUUGAAUUUAUACCAUUUGGAAGUGGUAGAAGAAUGUGUCCUGGAAUUUCAUUUGCCUUUCAAGUUAUGCCACUAAUACUUGCUUCAUUACUACAUGGGUUUGAUUUUGCAACCCCAUCAGAUGCACCAGUUGACAUGGAAGAGGCAAAAUCCUUGACCUAUGCUAAAGCUACUCCACUUGAAGUGCUUCUUACUCCACGCCUUUCUGCUUCUUUAUAUGAUUAAUUUGGCUUUUGUAAUACUGAAUGUAUGUUUUUGUAUCACCAAUAAGAAGUGAUUAGAUGUGAUAAUGUCUAUUACCCUGAGGGUUUAGUUUUUUUUUUUUUUUCCCAGAAUAUAAGUUGUUGUGCUAUCAAUAAGAAGCGAUUAGAUGUGUGUUUAUUUAUAUAUUUAUAGAACAUUAUGCUAAGUUAUAAUUUGUAGUUAAGGUCUCCAUCUUUAUGGGAAAAAAGUUUUAUAUUUAUCUUAUUAAAGCGCGGGUCCAGAUUUAAAAAAAAAAAAGAUGCAGGGCAGGAUAUGCUAUCCUAACUCAUUUUGUUUGCACCAAACAUAAAAUUAGAUUAAUGUUUGUAAAAACAAUUUAGUCCCCAGCUUUUUAUCCCUCAAGGUAAUUAAUUAAACUAAAAGUUUAUCAAUGCAACUAUUCAUAGUUAAUUAGUUUCUCAUUAAUUUUUUUUACAGUGAUAAAAAUUUCAGCUUACCAGCCCUCUUCGUAAAUUGACGUACUUCAAUUUAUCAAGUGAACUUGAGUGAUGCAGAUCAAGCAAUUAAUUAAAAGGUAAAAGCUCAUUUAGUCCCUAUAUUUUAAGAUUAGUGUUUAUUUAAUCCCUAUAUUUUUAAAAAUGUCUCGAAACAUCCCUGCUGUUAAAGUAUCGAUACCUCUACCGUUACUUUUUAUUAAUUUUUGACUUACUUUUACAAUAUUACCCUUUUAUAAUAUUUUUUUUGUUUGGACAUUAAUAAAAAAAAUAAUUAAAUUAAUAAUUUAACCCUAGAAAAUUAAAAAAAUUAUAUUAAUUUUUUUGUAAGCACCAUUUGGCAUUUGCACACUUGGUGGUUUGCAUAUAAUUUUUAACAAUUUAAUUUUUUAUAAUUAAAAAUUAAUAUAAAUUUACUUUAAUUUUUAGGAUUAAAUUGGUAAUUUAAUUAUUUUCUUUUUAUUAUCCAAACAAAAAAAUUAUUAUAAAAUGAUAAUAUUGUAAAAGUAAGUCAAAAACUAAUAAAAAGUAACGGUAGGGGUAUUAAUACUUUAACGGCAGGGAUGUUUCGAGAUAUUUUAAAAAAUACAGAGAUUAAAUAGACACUAAUCUUAAAAUAUAGGAACUAAAUAAAUUUUUACCCUUAAUUAAACUAAAACAAAUCCUCGUGUACGUAGUAACAUGCAGAUCAGCUCACUAGCCCUCAAGGUGUAAGCUACCGGACUGCACAUUUAUUAGAGAACCAGAAUUCAGAGACAUCAGUGUCCAGGCUAGUGGGCUGUGGCUAUAUGGUAGAUGAAAAUUCUUUUAUUGGCCAUAGCUAAUUUCAGCUGCAGGAAAGAUUAGGCAGUAGGAAAUAUUACACAUAUCCAGUAAUUUUAAGGUUUCAGCAGGUUCGGGCUUUCAGUUCGAUUUAUAAAUUCUGUAGAGCUCUUCUAGUAUACACACGAGUUGAUUACCAUAUUGUGCUAGGACAUUAAUUGGCAAGUCCAAAAUCAAUUGCAGUUGGCAGAAUCUUUAUGACAAGCAGUAAUAAAAGGCGAAUUCUGGAAAAAUAUAAAGGGAUUUUUAAGUUUUGUUAGCUUUCCCAAGUAUUUAUCGCACAAUUCACAGUCCAAUCACACCCAUAAUAUUGAUGCCUUUUUGAUAAUCCUAUACAUUCUGAAGGGGUAAAAUUUGGGCAAAUUUAUUUAUGGACGUGAUUCAGUUCCACAGAAUUUUUAUUUUUAUGGACUUGGAGCGUAAUCAAAGACAAUCGAUAAAAAUUUCUCCUGCUACGAAUUUUGCAUCAGUAAUACUAGCAAACAUCAUGUUAAUUUGCCCCCCGAAAAAAAAAUCANNNNNNNNNNNNNNNNNNNNNNNNNNNNNNNNNNNNNNNNNNNNNNNNNNNNNNNNNNNNNNNNNNNNNNNNNNNNNNNNNNNNNNNNNNNNNNNNNNNNNNNNNNNNNNNNNNNNNNNNNNNNNNNNNNNNNNNNNNNNNNNNNNNNNNNNNNNNNNNNNNNNNNNNNNNNNNNNNNNNNNNNNNNNNNNNNNNNNNNNNNNNNNNNNNNNNNNNNNNNNNNNNNNNNNNNNNNNNNNNNNNNNNNNNNNNNNNNNNNNNNNNNNNNNNNNNNNNNNNNNNNNNNNNNNNNNNNNNNNNNNNNNNNNNNNNNNNNNNNNNNNNNNNNNNNNNNNNNNNNNNNNNNNNNNNNNNNNNNNNNNNNNNNNNNNNNNNNNNNNNNNNNNNNNNNNNNNNNNNNNNNNNNNNNNNNNNNNNNNNNNNNNNNNNNNNNNNNNNNNNNNNNNNNNNNNNNNNNNNNNNNNNNNNNNNNNNNNNNNNNNNNNNNNNNNNNNNNNNNNNNNNNNNNNNNNNNNNNNNNNNNNNNNNNNNNNNNNNNNNNNNNNNNNNNNNNNNNNNNNNNNNNNNNNNNNNNNNNNNNNNNNNNNNNNNNNNNNNNNNNNNNNNNNNNNNNNNNNNNNNNNNNNNNNNNNNNNNNNNNNNNNNNNNNNNNNNNNNNNNNNNNNNNNNNNNNNNNNNNNNNNNNNNNNNNNCGGGAAAAAUAUAUAUAUAUAUCCCCAUCAAGUAAUCAACCUCUUGAACAGAAAAGCCUGAGAUUUCAGAAACUCAAACAGAGAAACUUGACAUUUUCUUAUAGCAUGAUCAAGAUCAUUAUGUACAGUGGGGAAAAACAAAAAACAGAGAAAGUAAGACAGAAAACUCAUGCGUAAUUAGGUUUCAUCUACAAGCACAAUUAAUCACCGAGUAAUUUUUUUAAAAAAUUAAUUUCUUCAAGCCGAAAAGAAACCAUCAAAGGCAGCAAGUGUAAUCUGGCUCUUAGGCUCCAAUACCCACUUGACAAAUUUUCUGAUCUUGAUCCCAUCAGCCACGAUCGAAACAUUAACAACAUCAGCAGUAGUAGCAGCAGCAGUAGCAGUAGCAGGAGCAGCAUUGUUAUUUUGCUUGAUAGUCAUCUCUCUUUCAGCAGCCAGUUUCCUUAAAUUAUUGACCCUCCUCUCAUAUUCUUCAGCAACCAGCAUAGCAAUAUCAGCCAUGUCUCUUUUGAAAUCAAUUAACUUUUUUUAUUUUUGGUAAUUUUUGUUGAUCAAUUGAGCAUUCGAAACUUUUUAUACAAGGGAUUUGUCGGUCGCAUGAAUGGAUAAGACGGACAGGUAAUCCUGUGAUUUUUAAAAAUCAUUUUUUUUAAUUUUUUUUAAUUCGACGUGUGUUGUUUGUUUUAGAACAUGGGUUAGUAGGGGGCUGUUUUGGUUUCUAUCGACUUUGGAAAUGCGCAUCCCAUGUUCUGUUUUUUCAAUUUUUUUUUUGUUUUUUUUUCUUAAAUUGUAAAAAUAGUUAACAUGGGGUAGUUGAAAACUUGAAACGAGCAAACCAUGAUCGGCUUCCUUAUUUAUAUUAUUAUUAUUUUUAGAAGUUGCGUCGAUCAAUUAGAAGUUGAAAUACUCGAAAAAGAAAUAUGCUUUCACACCCACUGAAAAAGACUCGAACUGUCUUAAAUAAAAUAAUUAAAAACAAAGGCUAAUAAUUGAUUUUGGGAUAUUCGAGAAGGGAAAUAUGAGUUCUCAUAAAUUUUUAAAGAUCUUGUGUCAUAUAUUUUUAAAUGAUAGUGUAUGGAUAAGAUUUUAUUUUUUAAUUUUCUUAAUUUUAUUAACUAUCAAUCACCGCAUGUAUAUUUAUUAAGGAGAAGAUUAAAUCAGAAGAGAAUUCUGAUCAAAAUUAAGUAGUUAUUUUUCAAAUUUAUUAUCGUAUUAUUAUUACAAAUAAUGCAACUAGUUUAUUUUCUCCACUUUCGUAAGGUGUACACCAAAAUGGUGUGUUGCGUCAAUCUCAUCACGCUUGAAUCCAUAAGCUGAAAGCCACCCGUACUUUGUUUUAUCUAUGACCUCAGAAAAUUGAUUAUCAAUUCUAAACUUAAGCUUUUCUAAAGUUUUCAAAACUUCCUCUAUAUGUAUCUUCUCCGAAAAUGAGAAGUAUGAAAAUUAUUUAUUUAAAAAAUUUUCUGAUUUCAAAUAAAUAAUUAUUUUAUAUUAUUACAUAUCCUUCAACAUUUAUUAGAAAGUAGUGUGAAAAAUAACUGAGUGCGCACAUUAGUUUUUACUUUAUACCGAACAUCGGCAGGGUGGUGACGGUCGGUGAUAAAACCAUCGACCGAAAACCAUCAAAUCCAAUGAAACAAAAACUGGUGGCAAUUUUGUAAUUGACAACAUAUUUAUAAAACCACUGUCGUGGUAAGAACAAUAGUAAAUUUGAUCAAAGAUGGGCACGCGUCUCUUGAUUGUUAGACAUCACAUGACCCACAAGUCCCCCAAAAUAAUAUUAUAAAUAUCUCCUCCAUCUAGACAAAUCUUGGUUGACAUUGAACGAUUAGCUAGACUUCAAGUUUUGCUCCGACUUUUUCAUUUAUUUAUCAGCAUAUUAGUAAAUGAUUUAAAAAAAAAAAAAUCUUCAACUGCAACUCAAGACCAAUUCUAUUAAAAUGUUGACAGCAAGUCUACUUCUCAUACUGGUUAAAUUGUUUAUGGUAAUUUGCUUGACACAUUGAAUUAGCCACAGCCACGCAUGCUGCUUACAAAUUUUGUUUUUAACACAAAUAAAAAGGCGGUGGUGCCAUUUGGAUAGCUCGUGCUGGAGUUGGUUUCAUCAGCUCCGAUGGCGAUGUGUGGAUGUUCUAAUUGCAUGGGUCAAGAAUCGUGGAAUUGACUAUCCGGCAAAUCAUUUUUGGUUUGGUAUACAUACUAUAUGUUCUGUUUAUGCAUGGUUGGCUCAAUUCAUUCAAUAAAUGAUAAAUAGAUCAAAUAUAAGAAAACCCAUAGGUCCCAAUUAUGACAUUAAAGCAACUUGCACAAUUUAAUCAGCGAUGGCAAUCUUUCACGCAAAAGCUAUGUACAAUAUGUGGAAACAUGAACUUACUUACAACAAUUAAACCUGCGUUUGUGUGAGGUUUAAUCAAUAGGGGCGAUCUUUCACGCGAAGGCCAUGCAUACGAGAUACCAUCAGAAAUAUCAAUUGUCGCUCCUGGUUUUCUUGCAACUAUGGAUAAGCAAGCAGAAAAUUACAGUAGCGUGGGCGACAAAGCAAAGUAAAGGAAAUUUUCACAGGUAACCAUUCACAUAUUCGUAAAUGUAUCCGAACAGCGUAGACAGCGCCUCAGAUUUUCAUCUGGAAACUGUAUAAGACUCGUUUUUGAGAUCUACAUGAAUCGAAAGCAACAUAGUAAAGACUGACCUACCAAAAUCGACAGUCAGUCCGUCUUUGCAGUAUAUUAGUCUUGGAAACCAAGACUAUGAAUCCUUCAAAUUAUAGGAGACCUAGCGAUUUCAGCUGCUGAACAUGCUCAGGUGGGAGAGGUGCCGGAGACCAAUCAGAUCCUGUCAUCUCGCCAUCAACAUCCUCAACAACAUACUCCUGGCAUAACACAUCAGAGCAGAUUCACAAGAAAAUCAAAUAAACUACAAUACACAAUGACUGCAAAAUUAAAUUUAAGAGUACAUAAGCUACAUCUUUAGAUGAUAUUUCAAAGCAUCAAUAACGCAAGCCAAUCAAAAGGCUAGUCAAAACAACUCAAAACAUACUUUAUUUUAUUUUUUGGCUAAAGAGAAUUAAUGGAAGUUUGGAUGCCAAAAAGAAGUGAAGUCAAUGUAAAAGAUAAAACCUCAGAACUUAUAAGCACACUUGUCAGGACAAAGAACACCUGCUUCACUUGACGCGACAUUUUUUUUUUCCCCUUCAAAACAAAUGAAAUUUUAUUGCCCCAUCCAUUGGUCUAUUAAUUAAACCAUCAUUCGUCCAAAAAAAAAAAGAUUAAAGAAGUGAUACUAUUUUUUUUAUAAUUUUCCAGUUGCUUGAAACAAAUCUAUUUUCAGCGGUUCAGUUGAAGCUAGAAAGUUAAUGCACCACAAUGAGGCAAUCUUUUUAUAACAUCGCAUAAAGAGGAAAAAAGUAGCAUCAUUAUCACCCAACUUACUUUUGUUAGCAUUCGUUUUGCAAGUAUGUGAUAAUGCCGCUGCCAAAUCCGCUGUCCAACCAUUGUAGCCACCAAAACACUGUAGAAUAUUCCAAUCACAGUAAACAAUCCCAGCACAAUCAAAGCCAUUAUGAAUAGCAGCGGUAGCCCUGCUUCACCAGCACCGCUCAGGCAACCACAUUCACUUGCUGUACUCGCACAACUCUCAAAGCAUGUGGUACAGUCAGUCCACAUACAAAGCGUUCCAGGCAAAUGGCAGUCUGCACAUAUUCUGCAUGCAUAACAUAUGAAAAGUAAACAUCAAGUUCAUCACCAAUUAGCUUUCUCCUGAUAAUCACACAACCUAUCAGAUACUUUUCCAAUUGUAAGAACUACUCAAUUAGUUUAUAUAUUUGAAAUAUAGGGGAAAAAAAAAAUACAAGUGAUUGUAAGUUCUUUCUACCAAUAAUUAACUCUAGCAUACACUCUUCAUACGCAUAAAGGAAAUCUAUCCCCAUAUUUUACACUAUUUUAUCAACCCAUAUUGCCUCUUGCCCCAGCAGUUGGCACACUUUCUCAUGACAUUAAUAAUAGGAACCUAGGCAUUAAUAAUAGGAACCUAACUUACAGAAAAAAAAAACUACACUGUUGUUUUUUUAUGCAUCACUCAUCAAUUUCUUCUUUAACAUUAAACUUUUUAUUAAACAAGUCACAACCAUGAGGUCAUUUAUCUCAUAAAUACACAAGAUGGGAUUAUGGGGCAAUGUAGACUUAAUUUGUUACAUACUGUAAUUGCACAUGCAUGUGUGUGCAUACACUUAUCAAUCUUUCUUCUCUCUCCCUCCCUCUCCUGCUCUCACAAUGCAAAUAUAAGAGAGGCAGCUAUUUCCACAAAAUACGAAUCAACUAGCAAAAGUCUAACCAAAAAAUUUCAAAGGAGAAACUCAGAAUAAAGAAGUUCAUUCCUUAAUGAAUUCAAAUUCACAACUUAUAAAACAAUUAUGCGCCUAUUUUCUAAAAAGAACAAAAGGGCAAAUGAUUAUUAAUCAUUCUCUGCAGAAUAUGAACAAUGAACAUGACUAUAUAAAAGAACCAACAAAUUAGUAUAUGCAGAUCCCUACAAUGACACAAGAAAAUAGGAACGUCUUAUAGGGCAUCAGUUGUGCAGAUGACAGCAAAUAAUGGAGUAGAGUUAUACCCGGGCUGACAGCAACAAAGACAUAAUUCUCUACAAGGUUGAGCCAAGUCAUUCCGCACUCUGCGGUCAUAACAGGUAAUGAAGCAUCCAGAUAACCCCAGCAAAGCAAAAAACAACAGUGCUCCUGCAGCAAAAAUAAAAAAGAAAUGUAAAAUACAGACAUCAAGAGCUUUGACUAUCAUGGCAGAAGAUUUAAACAAUGGUCAAACCAUGAAUCUAAAAGCAUCAAGUAUGCUUAGAAGCAUGCACAUGCCAAUUACCACUAAUGGAUAUAAUACUGUUGUUACUCUCUCCCAAAGCAAAAGAUAAUCAAGAUUUCUGCCAGCCAGCCGCGGGCACAAAACUGAUCCCAGCAUUUUGGUGCACACACGUAUCAGAUUCCCAAAAAGUCAUUCAACCAUCUAAAUCUCAAUCCUAGUCAAGAUUUUUAUCCCUAUAACUCAAUCAGAUGCCAACUUACUCUUUAAAACUGAAACGAGGUCUCACACUUCAGUUGAGAAAAUGUUUUGCUACCAAAAUCAGUGGCAGAGCCACACAGUGGCCAAAGGGGGCAGCCGCCGUCGCCGAGUUUAAUUAAAAAAACAUUUUUUUUAAUUUAACCCAAAUUUUAUAUUUGCCCCCAACAAAAUUUGUGAUUUUUCCCUAUUUGCUUUAAAUAAAAUACAUAGCAAUAGGUCUAAAACUUUAAUUUUUAUCAUCAAAAUCAAUUUAAACAAGUACAUUAUACCCAAAUUCAAUGAAAAUACUUGAAAAGAAGAUGGAAUUCUUUAAUUUAAGAAAGCUUCAAAUAGCAUUUGCACAUCAUAAAGUAUGUUAAAUGGAAUUUCAAAACUUAAAAAGGUUUAGUGAAACCCAAAAAUACCAGAAAAUAGAGGCAACCUUUAUCACCCAAAACCUUGUCAGCAAAUAUGAAAUGCAAGAAUUUUUUUUCAAAAUGAGUAUAUUUAAAUUCCAAAACAGUUGAGAUAUGACACCAUUUUUUCCACCCGAAGCAAUGAAAAAUUUACACAAAUCUAAAACCUCGCAAAGGUGAAUGAUGUUGUUCAGCCAGUUCUGCAUAAAACUUUAUUAAUCUAACUCUCACUUUCAGAACUGCCCCACUACAAGAAAAGCAUACCAGAAAAUAACAGAUAACAGAUAACAGCAUCACAUUACAUUACAUUGCAAGAGAUUUCAUCCCAACACAUAAGAGGAAUCAUUCCAUGACACUGCUAACCAGACAUAAGAUAUGUAGUUAAACUGGCUAAAGCAAGUAGCCACAAACAUAAUAAAGAAUAACCUGCAAUAAACAGUGUCCUACAGCAAAUUCACACAAGAUGAAGACCAGCACUGUUCGAAAGUAGCAUAUCAAAGCCUUAAUAAUCAUUAUCAUUUCAGGUUCUUGAGAUUUUUACCACAUAUGUAGUAGAAACUGAGCUCACUAUCAAAACCCCAUGCCAGACGCAGCCAGGACUGCUGAUAAGUAUCAACUAAAUACACCAAAUAUGCCAGUGAAGCAAUUACCUAAGCACAAUGAAUGAAAAAACAGGAAAAUGAAAAUCCUAGGGGAAAAAAAUAUUUACCAUUACGAAAUAACAAAAAUUGCAAGAAAACAAGUAAGAUUAAAGCACCAACAACUUACAAGCUGGACAGCCAGAAAUAUAGAUAUGAUGUCUCUAGUCACAAAGAAACGAAAUUUCAAGGUUCUCCAUCGCCUAUCAGCAGCAACAUGAACUCUCAAAUGGUAAGGGGCUUUACAGGUUGUGCAAUGAGCAAAUGCAAACCCUUCCUGUAAGUAAAAAAAUGAUUAAAUAAAAAUAGAACACAGCUAAAAAGAACCAUGCCAGAUAAAAGCAAGAACCACAAUGCAGCUAAAGAUCAGAAGAGUCUUCCCAGAAAAGAAAUUACUGGGUAAAAUCCAAAUAGGGCCAAAGUAGUAAUUCUUAAAUGGACGAAAAUGAUAUUACCAUAUGGAGAUUGUUUGCAAGGAGAAACUAAGAAACAUAAAAGAUACCAUUUCAAAAGGCUGUAUAACAAUACAGUAUGUUCUGUAUCCCAUUAAGUAAGUUUAGAGUGUCCAUAAAUUACAGCAUUGAAAUUUUUUGGUAUACUUUUAUAUAAAACCAGUUUCAGACUAUAAUAAAUCAGGUGCUAGCUACGCAAAGAUCACUGAGAUCACACAGAAACUAUAAACUGAGCAUACUGUGAAUGGUUCUAGAUUUCUAAACCAGAAAAUCGAGAUGGCAUCAAUACCCUUACGGCUCGCCAAUGAUCCAAACAUUCUCGGUGUACAUACUUGGAUGUUCCUUUGCACUUGCAAGGAGCAAUAAAGUCCCUACCUGAAGAAAAUGCACAUGAAUAUAUAAAAAUGAGAGCAUUGACAUGUAUUUUAACUCAAAGUUAAAAACAAGGAACAUACAAGAUUAUCAUUUAUCACUCUAUAACAGCCAGAUAACAUUGGCAUCAACAUCACAGUGAAAAGCAUUUCUGAACUAGACUGUGACAAAACACCACAACUACAAAACCUAAGUGUGUUUAAGAGUUGCUUUUAUCAGUCUCAAAUAGCUAAAAAUGCAAUCAUUGAUCAUUGUCAGAAACGCACAAAACUAUAUAUAUAUAUUUUUUUACUAGGGCAAAGCACUUCCAGGUGGUUUUCCAACAGAAGCACUCCCAAAAAUCAUCCCAUAGUUGACUUCACUUCAUAAAUUCCUAAAACCAACAAAAAAAUUUUUAUAAUUAUUUCCUCACAUUUUCCAGCAUUUAACGGAAAAAAAAUAACCUACUUAUAUUUUAUUUUAUUUUCGCAUAAAGCUUCACUGUGAAGUUGCUUCAUUUUUCUUCUAAUUUCAGUUAAUUCUCCUAAUUCUUUCUCGAAUUUGAAAAUUAAACCAACUAAUUCACUCACUGAUACGAAGCAAAAACAUAAAUAAAGCUAAAACAGAGCAAAUGUCGGCUACAAUUUUAAAAAAAAGUUUUACAAAAUUGAGUAAUUUCGCUACAAUUACCGUCAGUUUCGAGGCAAAUACGGCACUGAAUUUGUUCACCGGGGCCGGCUUCGAGGUCGAUCUCACUGGGCUCGGUGAUUGUCGGCGGCGGGAUCAGCGGCGACGCUUCGGAUUUGUCACCCAUCGAAAUUUAAUAAUUAAUUGUUUUUAAGGACUCGAAAAAUGAAAAUAGAGCGAGAGAGAUCAAGACUACAUUUACAGAAAAAUCAUUUAGUUAGAUUUCUUAAAACCCCAAUUUCGAUUUUAAAAAAAAAAGAAGAAAAUUUGUUGAAUUUUUUUCUUUCUCUCUCUCGCUCUGAGGGAGAGAAAUUUUCAACGUAAGUGACGGGUUUUUCUGGUGGCAAAAGAGAGCAUCAGGAUUUGUUUUUAAAAAAAAAUUAAUCAACAAAACAAACAAAAAGUUCCUACGAGAUGGUGGAAUUAUUGAAUUUCCAUAACUGCCCAUCUGUUUUUCACAUUUUGGCAAUUAAAUGAACUCUCACACUUACUGAGAUUCAAACACUCUUUUUAAUGGGUUAAAAAAUAAUAGUCAUCAUUUUAUAAUUUAUUACAUUAUAUAUACUUUUUUUCGAAUUAUACUUUUUUCAUCGACAAUCACUAUCUACAUCCUCAAAAUCAAAACAUUUAUUUCUUUAAUUUUAAAUUGAGUUAGAUUUUAAAUUUUAUAUGUCAAAAAAAAUUUACGUAUGAUACUCUCAUUAUAGAUAAAAAUUAAAAACUUUAAUUAUAUUUAAAUUAUCAUUUACGAUACUACCCAUUUAUAUUUAGAUUUCUAUUUACUAAUUAUGAAUUUACACACAAUAAUUUCAUCUAAUAGCUAAGGAGCUAUUAAUUUUAAUUCUAGUCUUAUUGCUCUUGUAAAGAGAUACAAAUUUAAGAAGAGAAAUCAAAAUUUUUCAUAACAUAGAAAUAAAAUAGUAAAUGACUCCAAUCUUGAAAUUGACUUCUGCUUCCGCGCGUGGGAAAAAUACAAGGUAGUUGAAGAUUUGACGUUAACAAUUAACAAGGCUUGGGAAAAAAAUUAAUAAAUGAAAAAAUAAAUCAAAUUAAAUUGUCUGAGCCCGGGUUCGAACCGGGGACCUCUAGUGUGUGAGACUAGCGUGAUGACCAACUACACCACCCAGACGAUGCCUAAUGUUUGGCAAGUUUUUAGUUUUCACUUUAUUUUGUAUUUUAAAGUCCCUAACCCGUUAAAAGCAACACAACCCAACACUCUGUUUUCUCCUCUUCCUUAUCAAUCUCACCGAACUCGAAGUCGAGAGCAGCUGAAGUGCUGAACCCUCUGUUUUCUCCUCAAAACCCUAGGAACGUUUUCAGCAAUGGCGAAAAUCAACAAAGUUAAGAAACUAAAACAGGCAACUACGAGCCAAAAACCCAACAAAAAAAUACUCAAAAAAGAACCCAAAUCCCUCAAAAAACCCGAACCGCCUCCCGUAGCCGCCGCCGCCGCCACCAGCAGCAGCUGCAGCUCAUCGUCCGAAUCGGAGUCUGAACCGGAGUCAGAAUCCAUUUCAAGCCUCCUCGAACCUUACUCCAAGGACCAGCUCAUCGACCUCAUCACCGCCGCCGCCACAAAAAUCCCGCUUUUGCACGACCACAUUCUCGAAACGGCCGACAGGGACGUGUCCCAGCGGAAAAUAUUCGUUCACGGGCUCGGAUGGGACACGACGCAGGAGAGUUUGUUGUCGGCGUUCGGAGGUUCCGGAGAAAUCGAGGAGUGCAAGUUGGUGAUCGAUAAGGUGACCGGAAAGGCAAAAGGGUUUGCUUUUAUUGUGUUCAAAACGAGGAAAGCGGCCGUGAAAGCGUUGAAGAAUCCGCAGAGGAAGGUGAAUAACCGAAUGGCGUCUUGCCAGCUGGCGUCAGUGGGCCCCACUGGUGCCGGGGUGAAGGAGCAGGGGGCGGCGGCACAGGGGGAGAGGAAGAUUUAUGUGAGCAAUGUGCCGAGAGAUGUUGAAAAGGAGAAAUUGAGGGGGUUUUUUGAGAGAUUUGGUGAGAUUGAAACCGGACCGAUAGGGUUUGAUAUUACCACUGGGAAGUCAAGAGGAUUUGCAAUUUUCGUGUAUAAAACUGUUGAGGGAGCGAGGAAGGCUUUAGAGGAGCCGCAGAAGAUGUUCGAAGGGCAUCAGUUGCAAUGCCAAAAGGCAGCUGAGGGAAAGAACAGGACGAGUAGUAAUAGUAGUAGCAGUAAUAAUCAAGCACAGAUGAUGAUUCAGAAGCAGCAACAGCCAAUGCUUCAGGGGCAACAGCAAGGGCAAGGGAAUGAGCAGGAGCAGGUGCUUGCUGCUAUGGCAGCAGCACAGAAUUUGGCUUUGUUCGGGCAGCAUCCGGGAAUGCAUCCGUUGUAUGGAGGGUUUUUGGUGAAUCCUGGGUUGAUUAAUCCAAUGGUGGCUGGUGCAUUGCAUCAGGGUGCAAUUCCUGCUAGUAAUGUGGGUGCAAUGGCUGGUUCGUCAGUGCUUGGAUCAUUCGGGCCUGGUGCUGCUCAGGGGUUGCAGCAGCAGCAGCAUGUUUAUCCGAAUGCUCCGCAGAGUAAGACUCAGGGGACUGGUGGUGGGUCAUUUCCUGGGUAUACUUCAUAUAUGUGGUAUGGUUUAUUGUCUUUGCUUGAUUUGUUAUUUGUUUAUAUUUUUGUGAAUUUUGAUCUUUUGCAUGCUUAGUUUUUUUUUUUAAUGCUUCUACAAUAUUUGUUGAUUUAGCACAUACUUUCUUUUGUUUUAAUAUGUUUUCAUUUAGAUUUGAAAAUUUUGAUAUUUAGUACUAUUAUGUUUAGAUUUUCUGAUUUCUUAAGUCAUUCUUUAUUACUCGAGAGGAAUUGAUACAUAAACCUAUUUAUAAAUUGGUUUUGGUACAUUGCUGUUUUGAGUUGCUGCAGUUUAAGAUGUUUUUACUCUUUAUAUUUUGCCCCCUGUUUAUCUUAAUGAGUCCACAUUUUUACCCAGCUUUUGAUUUCAUUUUUCAUAUGUGUAAAAACAACAAUAUUUGUUGUCUCUCCUUCUUUCUUCAGUCAUUCUUUGGCCAUGGUACUUGUUUUUAUAUUGCCAAGAAAAUUGUUGUCUUAUUAUUAUUUUUUUUUUUGGUUUUCUUCUAGUGAGUUUCUUCAAGAGUUCUUUCUAGUUUUGUUAAGUCUUCUCUGCAGAUUUGUCAAGACAUGGAAUUAUAUGCUAAUUUUUGUCACUUCUUAAUACUCUAUCCUAUUAUUUGCAAUUUGUAGAGUAGCUUCCGUCUCCUUAUCUUUUCUUAUUGAUUUCACUGAUUGUGGAAGUUGCUUUCAUGCAAUUGUUUCUCCUCAGCCCACAUCAUUCGUUUGAACGAAAAAACCCUUUUAUUGGUGUAGUUGAGUUAGCAUAAUCAAUUUCAUUUGUUCUGUUUGGUAGAUUUUUGGUCAAUAGUUGUGAUCUUUUAACUGUUUUGGGUCAAUAUGAUGUGUGCAAGUCUUGAUCUCUGAUUUUUUACUUUUUCGAGCCUUAACUUUUGGAAGUUUUUGGUAAAUAUAUUUUAUCUGAGAAGACAAUAUCAUUUAUGAUAUUUACUGUCAUUACGUGUGUGGGCUCUAUUUGCAGAUGAUACAGCUGAGCUUGAGGAACAAUAUUCAUGCACCUUUGGAAGUGUUUUAUGUAGUACUUUGUUCUGGUUAAAUUGCUAAGUGACAUUUUGAAGUUUGUAAUCUUUUUAAAUGAUUCAGACUUUUGAAUUCGGCCAAAGCAAGGCCAUAACUUAGUGGAUUUUUCUUCUUCUACUUCAUCUCUGCUUCUUUUUACCCCCUUUUUUUCCCCCCUCUUACCUUUUCCUCUCCUUGUUUCUUAGCUUUCGUAUAUUUUAUCUUCUAAACAUUGGUAACUUAUGGUUUUUAUUUAGCAAAUUUUAAUUUCUUUACAUUAUGGUUCAAUUUAUUUUCAACAUUUCAUUUUUACUUGUCAAGUAUUUGAAUGUCACACUAUGAAUUUAUUUGCUGUCAUUGUUCCAUCUGGCUUGUGAUUAGUCAAUGGUUUUGAAACGCUGGACUGAUUUUCUUUUCUUGUGAAACACAUCACUACUUUGUUUCUGAUUGACAUCAUUAACGCUUAGGCCUUAUUACAUAUGUUAUACAGUUGAUAUGAGAUACUCUUAGCAUCUAACCCUUUUCUUGGAUUGAGUUAGUUUCAGGACAUACCAUUUGUUUUCUUUCUAUAUGCACUCAGUGAAAGCAUUUGAAGGGAUGUAUAGUUGUGUUUCAGUGCAUCUGUAAACACUUGUUUAUCUGUAAUUAUUUAUUCAUGUUCAUUUUGUUAGUGUUGUGGACGUACUUGUGGAAAAAACCACUUACAAUAAAUAAAAGCAAACCAUAGGCCUACGUAUCUCUUAAUUCUUUAGUAUACCAAAGCAACUAGUUAACGCAGUCGCUGCCAUGCACUGUCAUUCAUUAUUCAUGAACAUCCUUUGAUGAAGUAUGUGUAUGGUUUGAACUUUUAGUUUAGUUGGAUCUCGAAUUGCAUUUUUGGAUCCGAAAUUAUAAACUUUUGGGAUGGAUCAACCAAAAACUUUAGUUUUGAAGCUUUUGGUUUUAAGAAAGUCUUAUGCCUUUUAAUCUAUGAAGCUUGAUGUAUUUUAAGAGUUGAAUAUUUCAGUAAUAUAUCUUAAAUAUUUUCAAUUUAGUCGAGUGUGAGACUAAAGUUGUUUCCAAAUGAAAUUAUGUAAACCACAUUUUGUGGUUAUCUAAUGGGUUUAUAGAUGGACUUUAAACAUUUUAAUUGGGCAGUUCUAUAUAUGGUUUCCUUGAAUCUGAUAUUUUCUCUUUGCCUAAUUAAAAUGUAUAAGAUCCAAGCCCAAUGAAACCAGUUAUAUGUGGGUAGGUAGAUCUGAAAAAAGAAUAAUCAUAUAAAUCUUCCACAUUUUCCUGUUAUAUUUUGUGAUGAAGCUAUGUUUUUACCACAGAUUCAAUCAGUUCUAGUAUAAUAUCAUACUAUUCACCGUUUUCUUUUUAUGGUGAUGGUUAUAGCGAUCAGCUUACUGUCAACUAUGAACAUGCUUGCCCACAAAUUCAAUUAGCCAUAUAAGCUUUAAACUUUUUUCCCCUUUGUUUCAAAUGCAAUCUUCACCAUUGUUACAUUUUUAUAGCCUUAGUUGUGCCUGUUGUGUCAAGUUCUCUUUGUUCAAUAUGUUUAUAUAGCUUUCCUCAUCAGCAGAAUCUAAGUGAGACUUUUUUACAGCCCUGUAAUUGUAUACAAAUUAUGUCGUUUGCUUUUGUAAUAUCAUGAUAAAAAUGAUGAUUUUGGUGUGUUUCAAAUAGCUGAUCUCAAAUUGUUGGUUCCAUAUUUCUUUCCUCUCUUGCAUUUUAUUCUCUACUGGCAGUCUUGUUCAACUGUGAUCGCUACAACCUCUCCGUUUCAAACACAUAGGUUUAUGUGUUGCAUCUUGUCGUCUUUUGCAAAUAGGGUUAUAAAAAAAUUUAGUGUUUAGAUAUUAGUUGGACUGCGUUGUGGCCCUAUAUAAAUAUGUCCUUUGCUUCUGCAUUUUCAAGAUUAAAUUUUUUUAAAAAAAAAUUGAUUUUGGUAUGUUUAUUGUCUCGAAAUGGUUGGUUCCACUUCCAGGUCUCUUUCCUCUCUUGCCUUGUGUUCUAUACUUGUAGCCAUUUGUAGUACAAUGUUGCUAUUUCUGUUGUUAUUUCCCCCUAGUCAAAUCUCGAAAAUCUCACAAAAACGACGUCGUUUCGUUUUGAUCUUUUUCUUUUUAAUUUUAGCUGCUAGCACUGUGUCGAGCAAUCCGUUUCAAAGCACAUGACGUCAUUCGUUGUUCUCCUUCAAUCCGUCUCAAGCACAUUGAGUGCGAGCAUAUUCUUUGUCCUUCGAUUUCCUUUCAACAACACUCCAGUUACAAAACCCUAAGUACAAAACUCUUAAAAUGCAAAACCUUAAUUGGUUCCUCAAAGUUGGGUGCAAAACUUUUAAAUUGCAAAACCCCAACUAGUUCUUCAAAGUUAGUUUCAAUUUGUACGUGGGUUUUGACAUAAGGUAACAUAUUAGUUUUUUAACGUUUACUUUACUUGAAUCUUGAGCUGGUUCGCGUGAUGGUUGUGGUUCGUCGUCUGUGGCUCGUAUGACGGCAAUUGUUGCCGGAGAACUCGAGGAAUGUUGAGAUUGUAGAUUUUGUGGCUGUGAGAGUUUAUUCAAAACGGUUCAUUUCGGCAUGCCCACAGCAGACAAUAUCUUAUUAGUUUUGGGUUAGGUCAUGACAAAUUGUAUUAGAGCAACUUCGCGUGUCCUCUUGAGCGAUAGUGAGGCAAACCUCAGUGAGGACAUCGAGUCCCUAAGAGGGGUGUGUAUAACACCUUAGGCAAAUCCUACAUCAGCAAAGUACGGGAGAGAUGUUGGGUUUAUAAGGGGUGAUCUAUACCUUAAUUAGCAAGUUGCGUUUUGGAGUGUAUAGGCGCCUUAGAAAUAAAAUCGUGCGGACUUUGUUAAGGUCUAAAGCGGACAAUAUAUUGUUAGGUCUGGGUUGGGUCAUGGCAAAAACAAAACCAAAACAAAAUGAACUGUUGGUUUUGAAUGAACUAGAUCUGGGUUGGUUUUGUUUCUUGAAGCCGAAACGAACUGAUUUGAAUAAACUCUCACAGCCACAAAAUCUGUAAUCUCAACAUUCCUUGAGUUCUCCAUCCACAAUUGCAAUUGCUCACAACUCAUAGCCAUCACAUGCGCCACAGAUGAUGGACCACAGCCAUCAUGCGAGAUUCAAGUAAAGUAAACGUUAAGAAAUCAAUGAGAUUCAAGUAAAGUAAACGUUAAGAAAUCAAUACGUUACCUUAUGUUAAAGUCCACAUACAAAUUUGUCGGGGUUCUGCACUCAAUUUUAAGAAAUCAAUUGGGGUUUUGUAAUUUUAGAGUUCUGUACUUAGGGUUUUGAACUCCAUUGGAGCUAGGGAAAAAUGGAAUUGCAUUCAAUUGACUAAACCACUUUUCAAGCGGACAAAAAUGCUUUCGUGUUCAUCUUUUAAGCUUUUAUUGAAUCGGCGAGGGCUUUUUUAUUUUUUCUAAUGAUUACAAUCUACAAAUAUAUUAUAUUCGAGGUCUACUAUGUAGGACUAUCGAGAAAGUUUGAAAACCCAAUGUCACUGACAAUAUGGGGCGGAAUCAUAUUUUAUAUUUUUGAAAAGGGCAAAAAGAGCCAUCGGAGCUCGACAGUCAACAUUAUAAUAAAGGUUGGAGUUAUGAGAGUUAAUUGUAGUCUUCUCUUAAUUAUUUUAUAAUUAAAUAAAAACAGUUUUUGUCCUCACGAAUUAUGAGUAGAGUAGAUAUCUCUUUAUUAAUGAGGGUAAAAAAUUUAAGAAUUCUUUAUAAGAUUAAUGUAUAUAAUUUCUAAUAGUAUAAUCUUAUUGUAAAUAAUAGUUAAUUCAGUUGUAUCAAUUGUAAUCUAUUGUAAUAUCAACAAUAAUCCUUCAAAUCAAUAUUAAGAAAAAAAAAAUUAUAACACUGUUUCAGAGUAUCAUCCCGCUAUUGUUCUGUGAGAGAAGUACUACUGGCAUUUGGAAACAGCGAUUUUGGCGUCCUUGCUUUGGAGAUCAAUGAUUUUGGUAUUUCUUACGAAAAGAGCUUUCCACUAAAAGCACUUUGCAAAGGCGUAUUAGUGAAGGUGACACUUGUUUCUUAUGAUGCAUUUAGAGUACUUUAUGAGAAAAGAGCUUUCCACUAAAAGCACUUUGCAAAGGCAUAUUAGUGAAGGUGACACUUAUUUCAUUCUAUGCCCUAAAUUUGGAGAUAUAAUUUGCUAGAAAUGUCGCACACAUGCUCUGAACCCUUUAUGCUUUUAAAAUGAAAAGCAACUUGAUUUAUACGACGGAGUUCGGACUAUCUGCUAAUUGUCAUUUUGAAAGUGAUUCAGCAUCAGCAACCAUGCCGUUAGUUCUGAGAAACCAAGAUUAAAGUAGCUAAAUCAUAAUCAUAACAUUCUUUUUCGGAUUAAAUCGUUGAUGCCGCAGCUCGAAGUUCUACAUUACUCUAAAUCGUACAAGGAAAUAAGAGAAUUAUGCUUAAAACCAUUACCCUAAAAAUGGCCCCCUCAUAAGCUAAACAUAAUCAUAGAAAGUUAAUACAAGUCACAAAGAGACAGUAUUUCGGAGGAGGCCCUGCCAUUUAUCUAGUUCACUUCUUCCUCUUCUUUGGUGGCUGAAGAGCUUCAUCAUCUUCGUCUUCCUCAUCCUCUUCAUUCUCUACUUCUUCCACUUCAUCCUCAUCCUCGUCCUCGCCCCCAUCAUCGUCGUCGUCAUCAUCCUCAUCAUCGUCAUCGUCAUCAUCUUGCUCUUCACCCUCUCCAUCUUCAUCGUCUUCCUCUUCACCAUUCUCUUCGGCACCGCCUGCCCCUGCCCCUGCCCCGGCCCCUUCUCCAGGACCUUUCUUGGAGUUACUUUUCUUGUUGUUGGAGUUAUUGUUGCCAUAGUCCCCUUCAGAUGAUAACUCCUCUUCACCAUCCCCAAACCCACCAUCUCCAUCCUCAUCAUCAUCCCCAUCAUCAUCAUCGCCAUCAUCCCCCUCUGCAUCAGAUGGUUUGCCUUGGGUUUCUGGAUCUUCCUUGAUUCUAGGUUUCAUAGUCAGCAAGGUCCAAAAGAGAUCCUAAGUCCAAAAGCCAAUUUUAUUGGGUGGAUGAAACAAUUAUAAUAUAUUAAAAACAAAGCAUUAAAUUAUGAUAUUUAUUGAGUUGGUACAAGUUAACGGUCCUACAAGCAGAAUAAGUUUGAUCUUUACAACUACUAUAUAAGGUAAAAUGAAUAGAAAGUUGCAAUUAUAUUUUUUUUUGGAAUAUUGAUGAAAUUAAACAAGGGACAGCAAAUAAUCUAAGAUUCUAAGUUCUUUAUUCUAUCAUCCCAAAAGCUUGGUCGCUAUAUGACCUUGGUGGCAAAGGAAUAUGUGUUCCUGCCACUUGAGGAAAAGAAAAAAGUGCUUUUAUUCUACCCAAAAGUAGGUUGAGGCAUUAAAUUAGUACAGUCCCACCCAUAUGCUCUUUUUCGGAAGAAUAUAAUUUAGAUGGUGACACCAGAAGAACAAGAACUAGGCAGGUCCCUUGCUAUUUUCAUCGAUUCCUUUACGAGCUAAAAUGGGUCAGAUAUCUGUAUACGAAAGAAAAGAAAUGGCGGCAGAAUAACAUCCCCUUAUCUGGGGAUCAAAGAUAUCUAAAUGGAGAAAUUCUCAUUAAUUCAAUAUUUAUAACUUGAAAAUUAUUUUAUCGAAACAAUUUAUAUUGUUGUCCAACACGCCUGAAAUUAAUACUAAUUCAUCUGAUUUGAUAGAAAAUUAACAAAAUCUCUAAAAGCGUUUGUUAGCGAAUCAUUAUGGAACAAACAAUGAAGAGGCUUUUGGCUAAAAGUAAUAAAAAAUGUUAUAUUUCAUAAAAAUUGUAAAUAUUAAUUCUACACCCAACGAAUAACACGUGUUCGACGACAAGGACGGCAUCGCCGAAUGGAAUAUUCGAUGUCCCAUCUUCGUUCAAUUAUAGUUUUUUGUGAAGACAUUUUGACUUUGGACUUCUGCAUAUUAUUAUGUUCCGAUAAAAACAUAUUUUAAUUAUUUUAAGUGGGCCCCACGACGCUUAAAACCCUGGAACUCAAAACCAUCCUAAAAUAACAACUAAAUCUUUCUCUCAAGUUCCGUUGCUUUUCAUUUUUCCCCCAAAUUUGGGAGGCGCAUGCUAGCCCGCACAGCGUACUAUGACUUUCCCUAUUUUUCAUUUUUCUUACCUUAAAAUUCACAAAAUUCGUUAUCUAAAAGAACUCCGAACUUUUGAAAAAUUUUAAACAAAAACAGUGGCUUCAAAAGUUCAAAUUUGUCAGAAAAUAAAUCCAAAAAUAAUGAAAUAUACUGAAAUCAGAUAUUAAAAAAAAAGAAAAUUUGUCAAUCAAUUUUCAGUUGCAGGAAUUUUUUUUUCAACGGCGCACGUUAGCCAACAAAUAAUAUGAUAACCAAAAUCAGCCGCGCACCCGCGCAAAGCAAAAAAGCACACAAACGGAAGAAAGAAGCGUUGAAAAGACACCACCAGAUACAGGCGCAUGAUAGCACAGCAACGUUAAAAAAAAAACUAAAAAUAAAGAGUUUCUUUGGAAAAACUUACCUGCGCUGUUAAGAGUUGAGCUUUGACCAGAGACGAAACUAGCCAAGUCACGAGCGCCUGCACCGUGCAGGUUACCGAACCGUUAUUGACCGUUACUGUCACUGAACCGUGGCGACUCGCCAUUUGUACGGCAAAGAACAGACAAACAAAUAACUAAAAAAAAAAAACCUGCAAAAUAAUUGUAAGCCGGUAACCGUUAGAUCCCCUUAUGAGCAGCUUUUCAGCCAUCAGAUCUCCUACAGUCCAGUAUCACUAAACGACAAAACGACGACAAAAAAUAGAAAUUUGCAUAAAUUUUUUAUAGAAGAAAUAAAACUGAAAUUAAAGCUUUAAAAAGUAAUUUUGAAAAUAUAGAAACGAUAAGAAACAACUUUAAUUCGGUGCAGAAGAAUUUGAACUUGAAUUUUGAGAUAAAUAAGCAAAAUUAAACGAAAUUCGCAUGGAAGAAGCUCGUUUUGAAAGAGAAAUGAAGAGCAAGAGCAGAAGAUUUGAUGCUCGAAAACAAGCUUUGAACUAGAGGAAGUCAAGAGUAAAAUUGAAAGGGAAGAGCGAAUCGGAGAGCGAGAGCGUACCGGAGACGGAGAUCUGAGGGAGGAGGGGCGAGAUCUGAAGAUUUGAAGCUCUAAAACUGAAGAAAAGAAGCAAAAGCAGCUGCGUUCAUUUUGGACCGUCCGAUCUUGAUCGAAGAGACGCUGGGGUGAGCAAAGAGAUAUAGAGAAUAAUAUCUAUUGCACACGAGAGAGAGAAGGGGGUGGGGGGUGGGGUGGAAGCGAGAACUGGUGAGUGACUGACUGAUUGCUGCCCGUAAUUUUCCAGUCACAGGUUUCGGGCAAAAAGGGGCAGGGCGGGCAGCGUCCUCAUCGUAUUAAAAUGACCUCUGGGUUCUGUCUGCCCGGAUUUCAGGGUAAGGACAAGUGUGGGUUAUCUCUGUGAUAUUUUAUUAUAUUAUUCGAAUUAUUUAAUGACUUUUCCUUCCUAUUACUUACCUUGCUUUAAACGUUUUCCACGUGGCAUAUUCUGUUUUGUCCGUUAGUUGGCAUGCGUGACCGCAGUUUUGGUGUAGUUGACUUUGGAUAAGAGUUAAUCUAACUAGAGUCAACUUACUUCGAAUGUAUAGUUGAGUACUUGAGUUAGAUCGAUCGUGAUUUCAAUUCAACCACUUCUAACUCUUGGGCCCACUUUUAUUUUUUUUAUCUUCUACUUUCCUAAAACUUUUUGGAUUUUUGUUUUUAUUUCAUUUGAUUACUUUUGUAGUUUUGUUGCAUUUCGAUUUUUUUUUUCUUUUUUGUCAAGUAGGGUGAGUGAAGUGAAAUCUAUACCUUUAGUCUCUAUCCGUUUAGGAUUUGAAUAUGAGUGGUUAAUUAAAGAAAAUAUUUAAAAAUAAUUAGAUGAAAAUCUUUAAAGACUAGUAUUUAAGAUUUAGAACAAUUAAUUUUUGGCAUAAAAUUUGUGGAAGAAAUAUAAUUGUGAAAAAUAAAUUAAAAGAGCUAACGAGAUGUAGCUCUUGUUACCCUUUCUUUUUUUUUUACUCUCAUAGAAUUUUUUUUUUUUUUUUGGGUUACUAAGAUCAAAUGGUUUAGGAUUGUUUCUUAUUGGAAAAUUAAAGCUAUAAAUUGAAUAAAAGUCACAUUUGUUAUCCCCAACCUUUGUUUAAAUAAUAAUAUGCAUAUAAACUUGGCAUAACAUUAUAAUGAUGUGAAUAAAUUUAGAAAUGAUAGUUUUGUGAAAAUGACGUAAAAACAAGCACACAAUAAUAUAUUAAUAAAAAUGUAGUGUUAGACAUAUGUAAUGAGUACUAGAAAAAUAGGAAGUAGUGUGAAUUUUGAAAAUAAUAAUAAUACAAAUGGGAAUGCAAAUAUUGACAUCUGAGGAUGAUGCGGUUAGAAGAACGGUGAUGGUGACAAAAGUCGUAGUUACACCAACUACUAAGUAAUCAACUUAAACUUGGUCAUUUAUCGUUUUAAAUAAUGGAAAAAAAACUGAUGUUUACUUAAUAACAUUCGAUUUGAUACAAAAUUUAUAUCCUAAAUGAUGUGGUACAUAAUAUAUCAUAUUUAUUAAUAUUGUGGAUCAUUUUAAUAAUAAUUACCAUCAUUAAUUAGGAUCAUGUUAUCAAGCAUACAUAUUUUGUAAGCAUAUUAUUACUCAUUCAAUAAAAACCUUAAUUUCACAAAAUUGCAUAUGAAAUAGAAUGAUUUAAACAUUAUAACCAAACAAUUGUAACUACUUAAUUACCGUCUUAUGUUAGUCGAUAUUGCAUUUUUAAAUUAAAAUCCAAUCGACGUUUACUUCAAAACUUUGAAAUUUAAUACAAAAUUUAUGUCCUAAAUGAUGUGACACAUGAAGUUCGUGCCACCAUUCAUUAAUAUUGUGGAUCAUUUCAAAAAUAAUGACCAUCGCUGGUUAGUAUCACGUCACCGAGGAUAUAAAUUUUAUAAUCAUAUCAUUACUCAUUUAAUAAAAAUCUUAAUUUCAUAAUAUUGUAUAUUAAAUAUUAUGAUUUAGAACAUUAUAGACAAACAACUGCAGCUACUUAAUUACUGUCUUAUGUUACUCUAUGUUGCAUUUUCAAAUCAAAAUCCAAUACGAUGGCCAUUGCAAAGUUUUCGGUCCAAUUUUGGUUCAACCCAAAAACAUUAUGAGAGCUCAUUUUCUAUAGAAGGUUUUAGCAAUGGUGGAGGCUCAAUCAUUUGGAAACAAUUUUAUAAGAACAAUGAUGGCUGAGAUGAACCUGAAAUAAGAAAAAAUAACUAUUUAGAGGUAACGCUAACAGUGACCGACAACGAUAUUCUGACGUAUAAGUUAGUUGGAAUUUGAAGGGGAUAUGGGGUUUAAAAAAAAAUCGUUUUAUAGGAGAAAAUGUGAGUGUUUAUGAUAGUGAGAGAAUUUGACUCUUUUGUAAGACUAACUUGAUCUUCUUUGGUGGGGUGCCCUUUAGGACAUCUUUGUGUAUUUUUGGACACGAGACGGACCGUUAUUGGUUAUUUUCCUCCUCCGAUAGAGAUUUAAGAGUAAUUUAGCCUUUCUUGUUGAGACUCUUGAGCUGUCUUGAGUUGAACAGUUGUCCUUUGAGGGACUAUCCUUGCUGGCGAUUUGCCCUCAAUCGUGAUUAGCUCAUUCCGAACAAACCAAUUGAGUUAGAGAAGCAUUUGAUUUUACUAGAUGUGAAACAAGUGACUAUACUUGCAGUUCCCCUUUGUCAUAUCUGACUCUUGUGGCUUAUAGUGAGAUAUUUGGAGACAGCCCAAGUGGGGACGAUGUUGUAAUGAUGUGGUGUGGCCUCAUUUGGUGAAGCUGUCAUUGUCUCUGUUGUCCAAGGCUACAUGUGGAGGCUUUGAUGCGUUGUAGGAAACAUUGUUUGUAAUUCUCAGGCAGCUUGAGUGGCUGAAGCUCAUUUUUUGGGAUCUUUCUAUUCUGACCUUAUCCUUUCAGUUCCUCUUCCAUUCCUUUCAAGCGCUCAAAGGUCAUGAGCAACAGUUUAAAUGGAGUUUUUUUUUUUUUUUUUUUGGCUCUUCCUCAUUUGUGUGUGUGUGUGUCUUUAUGCAGAGAUUUACAAUGUUGUCGUUGAUCUGGUUUUUCAGAAAGAGCAACGUGAUAUGAGUCCAUAAUAAUAAUUCGAUACUCAUCUAGUUCAUCUUCUACUUCUCCAUGGUACAUUCGUAAAUAAAUAGGCUACAAAGUUUUGAAAACCCCUCCAAUGGGGAUUGUCAUCCAGUAAAUAAAAGAAUUCAAUGAAAGUACGAAACUUAUGCAUUGAAUAGGCAGUUUUCGUACUUUCAUGUAGUUUUAUAGCCCAUUCAUUAUAUAUUUUUCAUGAGUUUUCAUGCAUUUGAUGCAUUUGAUGGAAUUGAAAUUUUGUUUUUUUUUUUUCAAAUUUCUUUCUUCUUGUCAAAGUACAGCGAGCAAAGUGAAAUCCAUAUUUUUAGUCCCUGUACUUUUUUUAUUCGAAUACGAGUUAUUAAUUUAAGAAAAAAAAUUAAAAAUAAUUAGAUGAAAUUCCUUGAAGGCUAGUAUCUAAGUUUUAGUACGUUAAGUUUUGGUAUAAAAUCCAUGGAAGAGCGAAAUCUAAUUGCGAAGAAUAAAUUAAAAGAGCUAAUGAGAUGUAGCUGAUGUUACCCAUUUUUUUCCCGUUUCAUGAAUUUUUUUUUUUUUUGGGCUACUAAGAUCAAAUGGUUUAGCAUAUUUCUUUAUUGUAAAAUUAAAGUUAUAAAUUGAAUAAGAUUCACAUUUGUUAUCCCCAACUUUUGUUUAAAUAAUAAUAUGCAUAUAAACUUGGCAUAACAUUAUAAUGAUGUCAAGAAAUGACAGCUUUGUGAAAAUGACUAAAGAAAAGCACACGAUAUUAUAUUAAUAAAAAUGUAGUGUUAGACAUCUGUAAUCAGUAUUAUAAAAAUAGGAAGUAAUGUGCAUUUCGAAUAAUAUAAUAAUCAUGAAUGGGAAUGCAAAUAUUGACAUCUGAUGAUGAUGCAUUUAGAAGAGUGCUGAUACCUAAUGGGGACUAAAGUUGUAAUUAUACCAACCACUUAGUAAUCAACAUUAAAAUUUGUCAAUUAUCAUUUUACAUAAUCGGGUGGAAGAAAAAUAUAUUAAAAUGGGUUUUAAUAAAAAAAAGAAUUAUUGUUAAAAAUAAAAAAUAAUUAAGAUUAAAAUUUAUAACAAAUGAUAUUAAUAAAAAAGAAACCGAUAAAAAUUUGAGAUUAGGAUUAGGGUUAAGGUUUCGGUUUUUGAAUUUCCCUAAAUUUUAUAUAUUCUUUAAGUUUUAGUACGUUGAAUUAUAUUUGUAACCCUUAGAUGGUAAUGGAAUGUAAACAAAUUUUAUGGAUUAAUUUAUCUUUUAGAUACUUUGAAGGGUAAAAUGAUAUUUUAUAUGGUAUAAGUAAACUACUUGAUUAAUUAUUUAUAUUCUUAAAAUCUGUAAACUCAAGAUAAGAAAAAAUUUAAUUUUUGAUUUUCACUGUGGUGAUAUUGUAAAAAAAAAUCAUGAUUAUUAUAUUUAUUUUAUAAAUUAAAAUAAGAAAAAAUUAAUUUAAAAUCUUAAAAGGUUUAUUACUAUUUUUAAGGGAAUUUUCAAUAGUAAAUUUAUUUUUGUCAUCUAACUUAAAAUAUGUCGGAUUUUAAGGGGAAAUGAAAUUAUCCUUAUUAAUCCCACAAUAUUGUUAAUUAGUUACGUUAUGGGCAUUCUCGUAUUUUACUAAGUCAAAUGAGUCAACUGUUAAAAAUAACAAUAAUUAGGGGAAUAUAAGGAAAAGAGGAGAGAGGAAAGUAGGGGAGGGAAAGAAAUAAAGGAAAAAAGACAAUUUCAUGUCCAACCAAAUAAUGAAAAAUGAAAUUAACUCUCUUUUUCACUCCCCCCAUUUGAAAUGAGUUAUUCAUUGAAGAUAACUAAAGUACCAUCCCUUUUGCACUUUUUUAUUUCUCGAUUUACCUUUAAUUCCCCCACCAAUUUAUCAUCUACAAUAGACUUUAAUGUUCAGACAAUCUCCUUAUUUUCUAUUAUGAAGCUCAUCUGUAGUUUUGCAAGGUCACACAUUAUUUACCCCAAUGUUCGUAGCCAUUGAGUCUCCAACACUUUAUCAUAUCCUCCAAUGGAAGAAUAUAAAAAUCAACAAAAAUGGAAAAAAAUCCCUUGUAAUAAUAAUUUAACAUUGGUGCACUUUCUCCUGAUGCCAUUACCACUUUAAAUUACUCUUUUAACUUCGAGUUGUAAUCCCACCUUCCUUGCAAUGUCUUCACCAAUGAAAUUAUGAGUGCUUCCUGAAUCUGCUAGAACUAUUGUUGUAAGUGGCCCAACAGUCCAUUUUACCUGCAUUGUACCCAAUGUCCUUGCUCCAAAAAUUGCUUGUAGAGGGAUCUUUGCACCACCUUGGAAUCUUCUAUAAUAGCAUCAUCCUCAUCCAUAACAACAUCAUUGUCACCAUCAUAACAUGCUUCAAUCAAAAAUAAUUUUUUGCAAUGGUGCUCUAGAGUGAACUUUUGAUCACAAUUGUAACAUAAUCCUUUGGCUCAUCUUUCUUGCAUUUCCGCUGGUGCUAAUCGUUGAACUAGAAGGGUUGAAUUGCCUGGAAUUAGUUCUUUUUUCAAUAAAUAGUUCUUUUUUCCCUCAAUAGUGAUAGUGUUGUGUCGCUAUGAGAUGUUUGGAGCUUUAUACAACUGGACUAGUCCAAUGGCUAAUGUCAAUGUGGUUGGUCUACCGAUAAGAAUGUUUGCCUUAAUGGUGUCUUUCAACCCACUGACGAAAUAGCUAACUCGUCGAUCUUAUGAAAGAUGUCCCACCUUAGCUAACAACUUCUCAAAUUGGGUUCGAUAAUCACCGACAAACCCAACCUAUUGUAAUUUGAUUAAUACGCUAAAAAAGUCUCGAAAUUAGGUGUCGCCAUACCUAGCAUGUAAGCCAUCACAAAACUCUUGCCCAGUCGUAAUGUCUCAUUCUUGAUUAAUCAGUUGGAACCAUAGUCAUCUCCCUCUAAAUGGAAUGAACCCAACGCCACAUGUUCGUCUUCUAGAGUUUGAUAAAGAUGAAAAAACUACCAAACUCUACAAACCCAACUAGUUGUGUCUUCACCACCAUUGAACUACGGAAAAUCAAGUUUAAUUAGCCUUGGAAUAUAUGACUGUUGUGUGCUACUUUGACGACCACUCAUGGAGUUUCCUGAUUGCCCUUGAUUAUGGAGUGGGGCAUUAAAGUAUUCUCCUUCCUCUCGUUCUAUAUUGGUCUCCAGUAGGGAACUUUUUGAAUUAAGCUUUCCAAAUAGUUCAUUGAUCUUCUCUAAAAUCUGUAGUUGACCAGUCAUAAGAGAACUUACAUCUUACUUUAACUUCUCCACCCUUUGAUCUAUGCCCAUUCUUUAAUACCACUAUGUUACGUACUAGGGGUUGUUCUCCUUUUGUUUGCUGGAACCUAUUGUGAAAAUUUAAAAGCGACUGAAAUUCGUCAGGUUUAUUGAGGAACUAAUGACCUCUGUACUUGAAUUAUUAGAAUGAAACUUGACUGAUCUCCUUUAUUCUCUAGUGGCUUGGAACAAGUAACCAAAAAAUUACAACGUUCACGUCCUGAAAAAUGGCUAAAGAGUUGUCAUUAACCUUCUGCAAUUACUUCCUACGAUAAAAUAGCAAUAGUUUGCAUUAGAUUGAGACUAGAGAUGGCCAAUGGGUUGGGCGUCAUGGGCACAACACGUGUCCGUACAGCACGGCGCGACACGUGCACGUUUCAGUAGGGCACGUGGCACGGCAUGGCACACACGUGGGCCAUGCCAGGCCUUAAAAGCACGGCACGAUUAGGAUGGGACAAAGUACGGCACGCGAAAAGACAUGUAAUAAGCACGCUUCAUUGGUGGGCUAAGCACGCGGCCCAUGAGCCAUCAAUAGUACGUGGGGCAAAGUAUAUUAAAGUAAAUUUUUUUAAUGAAAAAUAAAUAUAAAAUACCAUGAAUUUACAACUAUCUUGUAAUUAAUUUUUUUUAAUAUAUUUUUUUUAGUAUAGGAUUUUAAAAAUUAAUUUAAGUCGUAGUUUAAAUAAAUAUUCUAAUUUUUUAUGUUUAUAAUUUAUUAAAUGGAUAAAUAAAUAUCAUGAUUUUAUAAAUGAUAAAUAAAAAAUUUUAUGACAUUAAUAUUUCAUUUAUGAAAUCAUAACUUAAUUAAUAGUUAAUGGAGAUAUGUUUCAUUUGUGAUUGAAAUAUUUUUCAUAUUUAUGCACAAAAAAAUAAAAUUAUGAACAAAAUAUUUUUAUGAUAAAUUAAAAAUUAUAUUUUCAUUCAAUGGAGUUCAAGUGCAAUUAUAAUAUUAGUUGUUCAAAUAAAAUUAGGUGUAAUUGUUAUUUUAGGAUUGUAAUUUUAUUUUUCAUUAAUCAUUACUAUGAUUUAUGAAAUUAUUAUUAUUAUUAUUAUUAUUAGGCUGGUGGGCUUAAAAAAACACAUCAGGCACAUGGGCUUGAAAAAAACACAUCAGACACGUGAGCUUUUUUAAGCACGCUGAACAUGUGAGCUUAAAGUUAAAAAAAAAAUUGGUGGGCUUUUUUGGGCACGGCACGAGCGGGCUCAUGCUGUGGGCCAUAUCGGACCCUUAUAAAAAAAAGUGGGCCGAUGUGCCGACACGGCCCAUUGGCAAUCAUUUAUCUAAGACUUUGCGAUAUUUACUACCGGCAACCAAUUAUUUUUUUUAAAAAACAAUAAGACCAAAUAAAUAACACAAUGUUGUUGUUGUCGUUGACUUGGGAUUUGAAGAAAGAGUAAUGUGAUAUGAACACAUAAUAGUAAGUCGAUGCUCAUCUAAAGUUUUGAAAACCCCUCCAACAGGGAUCAUGACGCAAUACAUUACAAAUUUCAUGAAAUUACACAACUUAUGCAUUGAGUAUGUAGUUUUUGUACUUUCAUGUAGUUUUAUAGCCGAUUAACUAUAUAUUUUUCAUGAGUUUUCAUGCAUUUGAUGGAAUUGAGAUUCUUUUUUUUUUUAAAUUCUACAUUCUAGCACUAAAAGAAUUGAUUGCACAUAAUUUUUCUAUUUCAGUUCCCUUUUUCAUAUAUAUUUUUAUUUAAUGGUUAGUUUUGAAAUAUUAGAGAAAAUUAACUUCAACGAUAUCCAAAGGUAGCAUAGAAGGGGGGUGAUAUGAGAAGAAUACUAAUUGUUUCAUUUCUUUUUGUUUUCUUUGUUGAAGAAGGGAGGUGCAUCUACAAUACCCAUAGGUGAUAGCUUGUAUGGUGGACUUAGAGUGUGUUUGUUUUUUAACUUAAUUACUUAAAGUGACCUAACUUCAUUAAUUAAGUUAAUUAGAGGUGUUUAUUUUUAUAAUUUAAUGGGACAUUUUAGACAAUUUUACCUUAAUAAAAUAAGCUAAUUUUUUUUUUGGCUUUUUACUGAAUAGAGAAGUCUGAAUAAGCCAAUUAAUUUCUAAUAAAAAAAAAUCCCUACUUUUUAAAUUAUUUUCCAUGACUAUUCCAAAACUCACCCAUACACGUUCACCUAUUAAUAAUCUCAUCUUAUAUUAUGUAUUAUUAUUGAGAAUUGCUGAUAAAAUGUGAAACUUAUGGUAUUUUGUAUAUUAUAAUUUCAAAAUCAUUAUAUAUUCAAUUGAAUGUGGUUUUUCUUAUAUAUAUGUUAAAAUCUUGUGGUAUUUAUGUGCUUUAAAUUUAUUAAGGAUACAAAUGUAAAAGUACAUGUUUUUACUUUUUUAAGUUCAAAAAACAAAGAAUUUAAUACUUAUUUUAGAGAUUAAGAAAAAAAAUAUUACUCAAAUUCAAACAUUCAGGUCUAUUCAUAUUCAUACUAAUUUAAACAAUUUAGACUUUAGAUAAAAAAAAAAGCUACCUUAAUAUUAAUACAUAUAUAGUAUUCUCACUCUUUGUAGUCUUGUACAUAGUAGAUAUAAUUUUCUCACUCUUUGUAGUGUUGUACAUAGUAAUUGUUGAGUUGUAUUUAAUUAGUUUAUUAUUGAACAUAAAUUAUAAUGACUUUAAAAAAAAUGAUGUAAAAACUAGCCCACGAUAUUUUUUUAAUAAAAAGGUGGUGUGAGUUUUGUGUAUUAUAAAUCGAAUGCAAAUAUUGACAUUUGAUUAUGUAUUUAGAGGAGGGAAGGGUGAUAAAGAAUUAAAGAUAGUUAAAGAAUUAAAUUGAAAUCUGACUUCGAGAUUUUUUUUUUAAUUCCCAAAUCAUACAUGUUAUUUUAAACGAGAUGCCCAAUAAAAUAGAAAUAUUUAGAACCUUAAUUUCAUAAUAGUCAAAGUCCACCACCAUUAAUUAAUCUUUUGUUUAAUAGAUAGUGUAGCAGGUCUAGAUCAGACAAGUAAACGUCCUGGACGAGAGAAAAAGAAAAAAAUUGCAGGUGCCGGUUAAUAUCCGGUAUUAAAGCAACCGAAUACCGAAUGCCUGCCGGUUGCAGAGAAAUAUUUUAUUGCAUGAAAAUGUAAGAAAUGAAGUAAAAUGUACGCCUAUCCUGGCGAGCGAGCAGUCACGUGCGGCAAGUACAUUUUUCCAAACAAUAGCGAUGAUCCGUUCAGAAAAAUAGUAGAUUGAUUUUACAGCUUUGGUUGACUUCACCGGGAAGCAGGACCGGACGGAGGUAUGUGAAGUUCGUGAUUUAUAGCUCGGCACAAACGGAAAUAUGAAGCUUGUAAUUUGCGAAGGUGAACAAUAAAGCUUCAUGGCUAAGUCCGUGCAACUUUUGAGUGCAAUUAUUGAAGUGGAAGGAGAUGGGAAAGGAGAUAUACUGGUAGUUUGUUUGCGUUCUUGUAAAUCUGACUGUAUUUCAUGACCUGUGAGGAAAAUUAUUUGUUGUGCGUGCGGGUUCAACACUUCCGACCAAAUUUUAAUGCUUGGUCACCACCCUCCAAUCUUUAGUAAAUUUCAAUCGUUUUUGUUGUAAAUACUUGUUGGAGAUCCAUCAGCAGCUUCGUUAUCACGAGGGAUGGUGUUUAAAAAACUUGUAAUUUUCUGAAUAGGGUCGUAGUGGAUCACAGUCUUCCAAGUUUUGAUUCAUUUUACUGAAUGUAUAAAAUUAAGGAUUUAAAACAGAAAAAAGAUGUUUAAAUUAAACAUUUAAAUCGUACAUCGUCCUUCAAUAUUUAAAUAAAAUAUAAAAUUAUUUAUGAUUUUAUUAAGAUAUAAAUAUUUUUUAAAAAAAAAACUUGAAGACAACUCAUAUGUGUCUAGCAUCUUUAGCCAUCAAAUUUGGACCACCUACCAUACCCACCUCAAUAAGGUCCAUAACCCAUGAUGUGAGAGAAAAUGGUAUUAAUUUGAUCCCCCUUUGGUAAAUAAUUUCAAUAAGGUCCAUAACCCAUGAUGUGAGAGAAAAUGGUAUUAAUUUGAUCCCCCCUUUGGUAAAUAAUUUCUUUAGCUUCAACCGAAUUUAAAUGCUUGUAAAUUAAUUUCUACCGUGAUUAUAAAAGUGAACUAUAUAAUAGGGGUGGGCAUAAACCCACAACCCAUAGGUUAACCAAAAUCCAAACCAAAUUAAAUGGUUGAGGUUGGAUAAAUCAUGAAAAUUGAUUAAAUAUGAGUUUUAUAUAAAAAAAUCAUUUUAUUAUGGAUUGGGUAUGGUUUACCCAUAGUUUAUAGACAAAACCCCAACACUUAAACUUAUUGUCUAAAAUCAUAACUAAACUAAAAUUACAAUAUUAAUGCUCGUCGGUCUCAAUUCAACUUUAUUUUAAGUUUUUCUCGUUUCGAUAGCUUUAGUUUGCAGUUUGGGGAAUUUAUACAAAUAACCAUAAAAUUUUGUGAUUUUUUCAUUUUAACCCCACAAAUUAAUUUUUAUCAACAUUAGCCCAAAAAAAAUUCCAGACCAAAAUGCCCCUCUCACAUUUGUCCCCCAAGACUCUCUCUUUCACGUAAUCUCUCCUAAAGCCAAGAACACCCAUAGUCGGUGGCAACUUCACCCAUCGUUGGCGGCGACUCCACCCAUCAUCGGCGUCCGAUCUACCUUCUACGGCGAAGAAAAUCAACUAGAUUCAUUAUUUAACUUCAACAAAAUCUAGGUUAGCCAUUUUAUUUAUAUUUCAUUAAUUAAAAAUGAAAUUUUAGAAUAAUAGUGGUUGUAGUUUGAGAAUAAUGGUGUGGUUGUAGUUUGAGAAUAAUGGUGGUAAUAGUGGUUGUAGUUUGAGAAUAAUGGUGGUGGUGGUGGUGGUGGUGCUUGUAGUGGUGGUUGUUGUUUUGAGAGUGUGUUGUUUUGGGAGUGUGCUGUUUUGUGCGUGAUUUGUGAGUUUGUUGUUUUGGGUGUGAUUUGCUGCCCAGCAAGCGUCAUUUGCUGCCCAGCGACAGGCGCUAGCGCGCACAGGCGCGACCCUGUCGCAUCAAAUUACAAUUUUUAUUUUUUUUAACGUGAAGUUAAUUUUCCUAUUAUUUUAUUAUAAAUGCAAUCUAAUAAUGUUAAAAAUAUUAUAGAUACAUGACGAAAUCAGAAGUGUCAAGAAACAAAUUGAGCAAGAUGAAGUUAGCUUAUGCCGAUCACUUCCCAGGGCGAAUUUCAAGCAUGUGUAACUUUUCUACGGUCAUAAAAGCCAUCGAGCAAAAAUUAACAAAACGGCAGCUGCAUAUGUUCAAGAAAUACAUAUUUGGGCCUUUCUUGGAGUGCCAAAACUUUCCGUUUAGUGGUGUAAUUUUGCACAAUGUUUUGCUUAGGCAAGUGGCCCAUGGAGAAUACAGGGAGGAUAAUCAAUUAUAGUUUCAAAUUGGUAAGCAUUUGAUAUGCAUGUCAAUUGGAUAAGGGUGUCUGGUUACUGGACUUUCCUAUGGUGAAGAUACCGCACUAACAAAUAACAAGACGAGUAUUUUGGUGGUUUGUUUCGCAACAUCAAUCUUAAGCAAUUUGAUGCAUUAUUUGAGGAGUUGGAGUUCAAGGGUAUGGAAGACAUUGACGCAUUAAAGAUCACACUCUUUUACUUUGCGGACAGAGAAAUGGAAGAAAUGGCCACUGUCAAAUCAAUUUCUCAAGGCUGAACGAAGUAGAUGAUAUAAAUUACUUCCAAAAUCGUCCAUGGGGUCGUUUAUCGUGGGAAAUAAUAUACGAGAGUCUUGACAAUGCACUAUACGAGAAAGACGAGAAAUUUAAGGCGACUCGGUUGGAAAAGUCAAAUCAUAAAAUAGAAAAGUACAAUGUUUACGGCUGAAAUUGCAUGAGCACAUACAAGCUGAUCAAGCUGAAAUACUCUGCAGGAGCAAGUUUUCUUUUGUAGGUCAACUAAACCUUCCUUAAUCCCACCACCUACAACUUGAAAUCGAUGCGGAGACACUGGGCGAACGAUCAUUCUUUCAGCUAUAGUUUUUCUCUCAGUGACUAUUUCAUCCGCCCAUGUUGUUAGCCGAGUAGUCAUUAAUUCAGCGACAAUUUUUCUAUCAUAAAAUCAUUGCUGUAAUAUUUUCCUAAAGUAAUCAACAAGAUGAGUAACAUGAAAUUUUCUCGGUUCCCUCAUGAAAGAAUUAACACUCUCUACGAUGUUGGUUGUAAGUAUGUUGUACCUUCUACCUUCAAACUGAGACCUUACCCAAUUACAUGUAUCCAUAUUAUUUUCUAAGUAAUCAGCCGCACCCAAGUGGAGCAUCCACAACCCUUCAAGUUGUCUUUUAAAUUCCUUGUGUCCAUAAACUUUUGCUGUAUUAAUAAAGGCAGGCUCAAAUUCAUCCUAAAGAGCUUUGGACAUCCUAAACUUUGACUUAAUGUUACUUUUCACAUGGUAAAAACAAACACCAUGAGUUGCAUUGUGAAAUACUUUCAGAACGACUCUCAUUUUGGCAGUACAUUUAUCAAAGAUAAUUACCAACUCUAGCUUAUCGCCAAUCACUCCGUGUAACUUCAUCAUAAACCAUUCCCAAGCAUCAUUAUUUUAUGAAUUCAUGACCCCAAUGACUAACAGAUACAAUUGAUUGUUGCCAUCCAGACAUGUUACUACGAACAUGCUUCCACGAUAUAGUACAUUUAGAUGAGUACCAUCUACAACAAUGACAGGCUGAAUGUACUGCAUAAAACCCUUGAUAGAAGAUCCAAGUGCUACAAAGUAGUACAAGAAAUUAUCAUCUCCAUCUCGUUCGAGGUGAGUGACUGUACCCUCAUUCGCUUUAGUUAGUACGUUAGAGUAUUUAAGGAGCAAGUUGUAUGACUCUGCAGGGUUGGCUCGAACUAUUUCAAGACCAACUUCUCUAGCUCGAUAUGCCUGCUGAUAUGUUAACUGAACACCAUAUUCCUGCUGCAUAACUGCUCUGAUGUUAUUUGAAGUAUAAAUCUUCUUUUUUUGAAUAUAUUUAUCUGCAAUAAUAUGACCGACAACUCGGCUCCUUACUUGUCAACGACUAUCAACUAAUACCUCAUUAUGACAAGUGUAUACAUUGUCAAUUCUCCUUACCACCCAAGGAACAUUAUGCUCGUUCGAACUUCUAAUUGCUUGAAUACACCAUUUACAUGAUUCCGAACAACAAUGAGCCUCAAAACGUGUCGUUGUAGACCGUGCAAUCUUGAAAUCAAAUUUAUCCCUAAAGACAACCUUGCGCAGUUGUAGUAUUAAUUCAUUCUUCUCAGCGAAUAACUUACCUACACUGAUAUCAUCUGAGUCACAACUACUAAGAAAGCUUAGAGCAACUAUGUUCAAAGGCAAAAUUGGAGCAAGACUUGUGACAAUGUCAAUUCUCCUUAUCGAUCCAACCAUUGGAGGAAUAUAUCGAUUGUCUCUAUUAUUCACAAGAAUAUCGUCUUCACACUCAUCCUCAUGCUGAAACGACGGAAUAUUGGAAGGACCGGUUCCUCCAUCAUCACCUGCAUUAUUGAAAUGAGUGCCACUCAUAGUAUUAGAAGGUCCUGCACAAACAUUAUCCUUCUCUGUCUCAUCAACAGGAUCAUCAUUGUCUCAGAAAUUAUUGUUGUGAUACGGAGAAUACCGUUGCUCCAACGACGUCGUUAGUGGUAAUACAUCUUCUCUAACAUCCUCUAACGUAAUAUCGUUGUCAUCAAUGUUGUCAUUAUUGUUGUGGUUUGGAGAGUAAUAUUGCUACAAUGACAUUAUCGGGGCCAGACAUAUUUGCUCUAAAGGAAGUUUAUGUUCUGACGGGUGGCUCAACAUCUUCGCUCGGAAUUCGAGGUGAUGGGGUAAUGAAUAUAGGAAUGCAUUCAUAGUUGGCCACAUUGGAUGCCAUAUGCAACACAACCCUCACCAUUUCAUUAUCAAAUAUAUCCAUGGGCAGUGCACAUAUAUGAUAUAACGUGUUACUAGACAUCAAAGUUGUCUUCAUUGUGAUACUAUAUUCAUGAGGAUUUAUUUGUAACACUUCAUAUAUUCUUACCAAAAGCUAAUCAAACAGACAAUUUUUCCCAACAAAAAAAACUCUAUUUUUACCAUUUACAUACUUCAUACAGCCAUCCUCUAACGUCUCCUACCAACCAUCAUAACACAAUUCAAGCACAACUGAAUCCAUUAAACCUGAAAUUAUAAAAAAGAAAUUAAUUGCACACUAUCAAACUAAUAAAGAGUCAGUUGCAAUAAAUCUGCCUCUUCAAGCGACAGGCUGCCUGUUGCACUAAAUUCGUGCGAUAGACUGCCUGUCGCACAAAAAGGCAGAGUCGGUGAAUCUGCCUCUUCGUGCGACAGGCAGCCUGUCGCCCGAAGAGGUAGAUUGUCGCACGAAAUUUUCAUGCGACAGGUGCCUGUCGCACCAAGAUGCAAUCGCACUGAAACUCUCUCGCAAGUUGAGAAAAUAACUCUUACCAUCAGUGAUGCGGAUUGGUAUUAAAUCCGGAUGGAUUAUGAUCGGAGUUCACUUUUACCGUUCGCCGUCGGCGUUUGCCGUCGUCGGUGAUGAUUCAAGAGUGCAAGGCUGCGUUUGGUUUGAUAAAAGGGGAGAAGGAAAGUUGCUUUUAGUUUGUAAAUAAGGAUAAUUUAGGGAGAAAACUUUGUGUUUGGCUAAUGUUGAUAGAAAAAAAUUUAGAGAGCUAAUUGUGAAAAUAACAAAGGUUUUUGGGUUACUUUUGUAAAUUUCCCUUGCAGUUUUGUGGCAUCCUAAUGUUUCCCCACAAUGUGUAUCUUGUUACUCUUCAAAAAUUAAUUUAAUCACAUAAGUGAGCUUGACCAAUGACUGAUUCUGAAAUGAUUUUGCAUUGAUCUGGAGAGAGAAAUGCUUUGUGAGUUAGCUUAUCAUUUAAUUUAUUUCUUACUUUAACAAAAUAAAAAAAAACCCUUAUUAAAAACUUACUCUAUGUGUAUAUUUUUUUUCCUUCUUUGAAUUUAUUUAUUGAUGUCAUGUUUGUAAAAGCUUAUUAUUAGAAGUUACAUUCUCAUUUAUUGAGAAAAUAAUACUUUUCAUGAUUAAACUUUAUUUUAAUUUUCUAGUAUUCUUUAAUUUAAGGAUAAAGUUAUUGUAAAAUUUAUUAUUUAUAAUUUUUAUCCACUAUAUGUUUUUCAUAUUUUACUAUGAAUUUAAUAAUUAAUAAAAAUUAGUAAUUAUUAUAAAUUUAAUAUAAUUAAAUUUAUCAAGAUAAAAAAAUAUUUUAAUAAUAAAAUUGAAACCAAACCCAAAUCAAAUCUAAAUAGAUUAGUUUGGAUUGGAUUAAAAAUAUUUGAGUUGGUUUGGGUUGGACCCAAACUUUUAUGGUUCGGUUUGGGUUGACUCAAAACCCAACCCAUGUCCACCCCUCUAUAUAAUAUAUGAGAUGAGAUCAUGAAUAGAAUAUGAAAUUUUAAGAUGGCAAUUAUUAAAUGAAGAUGUUCGAUGCACGUCAAAAAUGAUUUAACGUAUGGAAUUAGUGAAGAAAAAGAAAACGAUGUUGAAAGUGAAAGAGAAAAUUAUUUUAAUUUCAAUAUGAGACGUGAAAUCUAUGUAAACAGUUUUGAAAGACGGAAAAGGAUCAUCAGUAGAAAUUGAGGGAAAAAUAAAAUAGAAUAUAUUGAGAGCAAAAAGUAAAGGAAAUAAAAUUAUAAAUGUGGGACUGUUUGAAUUGAAAAAGCCCCAAAAUAUGAAAACUAGAAUUCACGUGUUCUUUUUCAACCCAUGCUAUCCAGUUGCCUACUAACCACGACACUCGGUAUCACUGCCUUUUUAAUUUUUUAUUCUUUUUAUUUUACAGCCGUAGGAUUCUGUUCACCGUAUCCAACGAUUUAUUUAACCGAUAUGUUUCUAAUAGAAACUAUAACAUAAUAAGGUCCUAACUUUAAUAAAACUGCUUGUUAAAUAAUUUAAGUUAAACAUUACAGCCAAACAACUGUAGCUACGUAAUUACCUCACGAGAGUCUCACCUAAGUGGUCUCAUCGAGAAACUUCACUUGAAAACACAAUUAAUCUUCCCCUAACCUUUCACCAUCAAUUUCUUUUGGGUAUUUUUCGUUUUCUUUGCUUCCCCUGCGGUUGUGGAAAGUAAUGUACUAAUAUCCAUUCAUGGUGAUUUUAAUAAUAAGUAACAUUAAAACUUUUUUAGUUAAUAAUGGUAUAAAAAUUAAAAUACUAAAUGUAAUAUUAAAAUGUACGUUAUUAUAUUUUUUAAAAAAUAUUUUAUAAAUUAAUUGAUUGUAUAUUUUUGUAUUCAGUGGUUUUUCUUUUAUGCUGAUUACAUUAUGAUAAAAUAAUUAGAUUAUAGGCGACAUAUCAUUCAAAUCUUACUCCAAAAUAAAAUUUAUACAUAAUAUCAUCAAUGUCCUAAAUAAUAAACAUCAUUUCAUACAAAUUUUAUAAACAUUUACGACAUAGCAUACAUAUGAAGAAAUUAUAAGCGACACAUCAUAUAUCAAUGGCCGAAGAUUUUUUUCUCUUUUAUUCUCUAUUUAUAUUUUCCAACUUAAUACAAAUCAGCUAACCCUCAUUUGUUAAGUGUUGAGCACAUCCAUACUUCAUUUUGAAGUAUGCUCUAAUGAAUUCACUUCACCCUUGACAAAAUAUUUUUUCUUCUUUUUUCUUACAUCUGACUCAUUUUUAUAUGUUGGGUUACAACAAGUUUUACCUCUAUGUUAAAGCGAUUUAAAUAAAUCAAUUUUUCUUUGGAAGCACAAAAUAAUAUAGGAUAAGAAAUAGAUUCGUAUCCAAUAUUAAGCUGCAUUGUUUUGAUUUUUUUUUUUAUAAUCUUAUUGCGCAUCUAUAUUUAUAGAAGUGUAUUAUUAACAUUUAAUUAUAUAUUAUGUUCUAUCCAAUAAUUAUGGUCAUCAUAAUAUCAAAAAUCUCAACAUCGAGUCCGCAUCCAAAAAAUUAAAAAACAAGAAUCAUAAUUUAUAUAAAAUUUUAUUUGUAUUUAAUUAUUAGUCAUUCACGUUAAUUUGAAAUUUUUUGAGUGAUGACACACUCCUGGAAAGGGCACCGAGUUGAAAGUCUUCAUUCUAGAUCUUAUCUCCGAGAUAAACAUGUUGUAAUAAGAAAUGCAUAAACAAAUUGAAACGAAUGAUUCACAAACAAACUAUCUUAUUAAUUAAACUCCAUCAUCAACAAUAUUUUUAAGUUGAAUACCGCAUAACUUGAAAGAAAGCUUGUAGUCCUAACAAUAUUGAACAUAUAUACUUUUUUUUUUUAAAGGAACAUAUAUACUUUAUUUGAUAAGAUCUUCAUUUUCAUGUUUUUUUUAAAGUGAAAAUUCUUCAUCUAUAUCUAAAGUCUACGGGAAAGCCCAAAUACUAUUUCUUUUUUUUUUAUUAAAGAGGGCUCUUCAAAGAGAGCUAGACAGGAACAAAACGGGAAAGCCCAAAUAUUAUUUCAAGAAAGAUAUUGGAGGCAAGAGGUCUUAAACCCUACUUAUAAAGAAAAAAAGAUUUUGAUGGACUAUCAUAAAUGGGAUUGGGAGGUGGAACCUGAUGAGUUCAAACCAAUAUACUCUCUAAAACAUGGAAACAACUUUGGCAUAUACUUACUCCUGCUUAGAGUUGUUUUCAUGUUUUCGGUAGUGCAUCAGUCUCAACUAAGGGUGGGUGUUCGAUUCGAUUUGAUUUUGUUCGAACCAAACUGAACCGAACUGUAUUAUGGCAGUUCGGUGUAGUUCGGUUUAGAUAAUAUAAACCAAAUGGUUUAUAAAUAUCUAAAUCAAUUGAUGUUUGUUUGGUUCAAUUUUAAACCGUAUCAAAUUAAAAAAUCAAAUGGUUCAGAGAGAAAAAUUAAAUUAAAAAUUAAAAAUAGGUUUUAUGUUAACUAAUACGAGUGAUAACUAAUGUGAUAGUAUAAAUUUUAAAGUUUCUUUUAUGUGUGAUUUUGUGUGUUCCUUUCAUAUUUUAUUUAUUAUUGUGAAUCUAUAAUUUGUUGUGAAUUUCUAAGGUAUCAACGUUUGUUUCGUGCUUAACUUUAUUAUGUUGGUGGAUUUAAUUUUAUUUUGUUGUUUAUUUGUAAAUUUACGGACUCAAUAUUGUUGCUGUAGUAAUAGUCCAUUAGUAUUAUGUUGUUUAUUAGUGAAUAUAUAGAGUAAAAUUACUCAAACCAAAUUAAACAAAACCAAAACAAACUAGACUAUAUAACUAAACCAAACUAAAUUGAAUUAAUUUGAUUCGGUUCAGUACAGCUCUAGUGUUUGAUUCAUUCUUUUUUUUUUCACAAAACUGUAAAUCAACUGGUUUUGAUUUGGUUCGGUUUUAAGCAAACAUGUUUAUUAAAAGGGAGAUAUGACAACAUAUUGUCAAGGAAUGAGUAUGUUGUGCAACAACCCAUCCAGUACUUAGACAACUUCCAUCAUAAAAGUUGCUAAGUAAGCCUAAUGAACUUUUCAAGCUAGCUAAGAAAGGAUGUUUGUGAGAAAGCUAGAGAGAAGAGAGCAAUAUGGCCAAAGCGAUUUUUAUUAAUAGAAAGGGAGAAUACAAGAAAGCUUUACAAAGAUGCUUGAGUUGCUAGGUGUGUAGUGUGGUGUUGAGCAAAAUGGUAGGUGUCAUGCCCUAUAUAUAGAGUGGCUUGCCUAGGUCUAGAGUCUUUUGUGCAACUUGCACUUGCUUAAAUAUUCCCUAGUUUUUAGAAUAUAUAAGUGUAUAAUUAUCUAGGCAUUUACAAGUGCUAGUGUGUUGUAGAGAUUUCUAGAAUCAGGUCGGGGCUACUCGCUUUGGCUAGUGAAUUUGAAUUGUCCACUUGCUAAGUGCAUCACAGUUCACUAAUUAUACGAGGCAACCCACUGCUGAGCACACCCUGCUGCUAAGCGCAUCUUGCCUUUGGGCGAAUCUUUAUUAAGCAAACCCAUAUGCGCUAAUUUAGCUCUCGCUGUUGACAAAUUUAAGCGACCCGUGACAAUAUGAUGCAAUAUCGGAAGCCUUUUAUAUUUAGGUUUACUAAAUGCGCGGCGGGGAGAAUUUAGGGCUAAGAGAAAUUGUAGCUGCAUGGCUUUUGAAUUUCUUUGUGAAUCUAUCUAUUACUUAUUAGACAUAAUAGAAUAUUGGGCUAAUUGGGUAUGUUGGAACUUGGGCUUAUAUAUGUACGUCUUAUAUAUAUGUGCCGUCAUCACACAGGGAGAAGAAAAGAAAACUGUCAAGAACAUGAAGUGGCUGCAUCUAUAUAAAGAAGAAAAAUAAAAUUGAUUUAAGCGGUGUUUCUCCACUAAAAGAGAAAAUCAGGUGGCAACAAAAAGUUGAGUGGGGAUCAUUUCAGCACCCUCUUUCUAUCUCAAUAUCUUCUCCUCAGAUCAACCUCACCAUUUGUUAUUGGUAGGCACUUCUUCCGAGAAAGCAUACAAAUGCAUUAACAUUUUAACAUUUAGGAUAUUUGUUAACCAACAGUAGAGACUUCUGCGUCAUUUCAGAAAAUCGAGCUAGUGCAAAAGGUAUUAUCCAAGAUACACGUAUUUGAUUUUAUUUAAUUUGAUGGACACAGAUGAUAUGAUAUUUAUGGAACUUUAAAUGAAACUAUAUUUGAUUAGGGUUAUUUUUGUGAGAAAUGUGGUAAUCAUAAUAUAUAUUCUUUGUAAAGCAGACACUCACAUUAAGCUCGAUCAAAUAGAAGUCCAAAUAGAUGAAUAAAGUGCCAAACAAAUAAUAAUAAAAAAAAAAGAGGUCUGAUUAUGCUUAAUCUUAAAUACAAUGUAAUGAUUUAAGGAUCCAAAUGUCAACAUAGUAUACGCUCGAAUGACCCCUUCUCAUAAUGAGAAUGUAUAUAAUCUUAUUAUGAACUAGUCUUGUAUGGAAUGAACUUAUAAUCAUGGAAUCAACUCAAUUAUCAAAUUAUAUGUUAUAAGUUCAUAAUUCUAACCCAUUCCCAUUUUGUUCCAAAAAGAUCUAUUAAUUGUUUGAUUCUAAUUAGAAAGAGGGAUCUUAAACUAAGAAAUCGAUAUUAAAAACUAACUAAAAACGAAACGAAGGUAUUUUAAUAGUAUUCGUUGAUAUUCCUUGAAUAUUAGUUUCCUCUAAUAUAUUAGAGUUUCUAUCCAUUUAUCUACGCUUUUAAUUUUGUGGAAACAAAAAAUUGAAGAAACCUAUUUGUAUCAACGUUUGUCAUAUAUUUUUGUGUGUCGAAAAAAAUUGCAUUUUGAUCCCAAAUUCAGAAUUCACCUAAACUUAAGUUAUAUAUACACGGGUAUUUUGGUUUAUUUUCAAUUUCUUGAAAGCCAAUAACUUCCCUUACUCACCGGAUUGUAAUUUUGUUACAAAUUUCUAAAAGUGAGUAAUCAAAGAGGUGCUCCAUGACGCGCAUGAUGAUUGAAAAAAUUGCCCAAUCAUUGAACUAAAUAAAUAAAUAAAAUGAUUUACUUGUAGAUAUAUUGUAUAUGGUCCAGAAGCGAUUAUCAUUUUAUCAACAUUGCUUUUUUUUGGCUUCGACUUGUCUCCAAAUCUCUGCAUUCUGAAUGCAAAAAUGACUUGUACCCACAUACAUAAAUACAGUUAAUAUUUUUAUUAAUAAUUCGCACGUACUAUAAGCAAACGCAUGUGAGGAUUUUAUUUUUUUUUAAAUCUCUUCUAAUAGUGAAAGUCUUUUAUAUUGAUAAUUGAUAAUUAAAUAAAUCGGUGCACAAUAUUUAUUCCGAUUUUUUUUGAUUUUUUUUUUCAAAUAUUGCCCAAUAUAAAAGAGAUUCAAAUAUAGUGAUGUAAUUUCAACCAAUAAAAUUGAGUUUUCGACACUUUACCUUUUUGAUAUUUUAACCUUCAGCUUGUAUAAUAGGAGAUUUUCCAGUAAAAGCAGUUGAUACCCAUAAUAUAAAACGUAGAUUUGGGCAUACAAUACAGAUUCGAAGUAGUUCCACUCAAUAUUGAAUUAUCUUCUUUUUUUCUUUUUAAUGUAGAAGGGUAGGCACAGCUCCUAUUAAUUAUUUAUCUCUUAUAUUCCUUAGGAACUGAAUUUUUUUUUGGGUGAUUAACUACAUAAAAUUACUUAAAUUUUAAAAAUCACUCACCUAAGUCCAAGAAGCUAGCGUUGAAUUACUUUGAAUUGAAUUAUUAAGAAGUCUAAUUUUUGCAAAAUAUUAACAUCCGAAUCACUAGAAAUGUCUAGUUAUAUUUUGUCUUCAUUCAAUUUUGUUGGAUCACCUUCUUUUUUUUUUUUUUAAUUAAGGUGACAAUGCUUUAAUUCUUUUUGUGGCAAAUACAAGGAUAUCCACUUGUAUAUAUAUGAACCAAGCAAAUUAAGGAAAAAAAAAUCGCCAUACAUGAUUGAUUGAUGAUUUUUAUUUUUGUUUCUUUUGAUUGAAUCAGCAAAAUUUUGUGAUGACAACAAUUAGCCAUUCUGAGUGGCAACCGUCUUUGGAUUGCACUCAAGAAUAACACUACAAAUAGGACAAUAAAUAAAUAAAAGGCAAGUGUUUGCGUGACGUUUCCUUUGUGAAUUUUUAUAUAUCUCUUUAUGUGAAUCAAAUGCGCACACUUGCACAAAGAGAAAGAAUAUAAACGAAAAGGAAAAUCACUAAUGGAAUCAGCCAACCAUUUCAAGGCAAAGCAGUGUUUGGCACCACCCCCCACCAUUAUAUAUUCUAUCUUUUUUAGUACACAUCAUUGCCACUAUGACCUAAUUAACUAAUCAUUUAAUCUUGUCCUGUAUAUAUCUCUAACUAUUUAUUUCCUAUUAGAUAAUCCAUUGAUUUCAUAUUAAAAUCAUGAGAACAUUAAUUGUGAAACCUUAUGUGGCUAUUGGUUGAUUUAAGUGAUAGAGAGCUCUUCAUGAUUAAAAAAAGAAAAGAAAUUUUGAAAUUUAAAUUCCACUCAUUAAAAAAAGUAAUUUAUGCACGAAUGUUAAUGGGUUAUAUUAAUUAAUUAUGGCGGGUGCAAAUCAACGAACACAUUAUUCGGAAUCCAUUUUCGAAAUAUUUAGGAAUCCGCAGCAUUUAUAUUAAUGUAAUAUUAGAAAAAUUGAGCAGCCGAACCGAGAGUGACGCCAGUGACAAGGCAAAUAUGUUGGCCAUUUGUCGGUUUAAGAUUCUAAAAUUCAAAAGGAAGGUAAACUUUUUGUAAUUAACAGUAUGCGAUCCCUAUGGCUAUAAAAAGACACAAAGGUCAUAAAAGUAUCUUUCAUGUCCAAUUUGUAUAUUUGAUAUGAGGAAAUUUUAUGAGCUUUAAUUUAGGAUUAGAUGUUCUGCACGAUAAAGUCAACUUAAAUCUCAAUCAUAUAUUAAAAUUAAUGAAUAGAUAGUGCACAAUAUUUAAAAAUUUAGGAAAAUUUAAUGAACAAGUGAUACAAAAUCUUUAAAAAUUUAAGAGAGAACUUUAGUCUUUUUAUUUUGUCGAGCUUCUUUCACAAAAAUGUAAUUAAUUUUAUCUCUAAUUAAUAAUAAAAAAGAGAGAAAAGAAAAAGAAAAAUUAUAUCCUUAAAUCUAGUUGUGGGUUAACUAAAGGUUAAAUGUCCUUAUUAGGAUAUCACCUUGUAAAAAUAAUUACACAAUGAAAAGCGAUUGCAGUAGUUAAUUUAGAAUUGGAGGCCUAGAUAUUCCUCAGAGAUAUGGAUAAAUCAAAAGAGAAUUUAAAUGCAGUCUCUCUGCUAUAAAAUAAUCGAGAGAAGUGUAAAGUGUUUAAUAUAAAUUAAAUACUACGCAUAACAUCAAGUUGCUCCAAUAUUGAUAAGAUUAUUAAAUAAUUGGUACGGGGAUUUCUAUAAAGCUAGCUAGCUUAUUUUAUACAACCAAUUCUGUACGUACAUGUUAUAUUUUCAUCAAAUUCUCAUACGUGGUUGUCCUCAUUCUGCAAAUAGAAAUCAAAAUAAUACAUUAUUGCAUGCUGUAAAAUAAAAUAUGUAUAUUCUUUGCUAAGAAAAGAAAAUGCCGACGCUUUAAUUUGUUAGAAUGAAUUGAAUAAACUACUUAUCAGUAAGUUGUUUUUUAGCUUGAGCACAGCUAGGUCAUGCUAAUAUAUCUGUUACUGAAGAUAACAACAAGGAAUUUAUAUUUUAAAUUUUAUCUCUACUAAUAAUAAAUGUUUAAAAUCUGCAGCUACUUCAAUAAUUAAGUUGAGGUCACUCUUGUCUCCAGUUGGAUAUGAGGAGCCAAUUUUAGGGUUGGUGUUAGGUAAGAGAUAACCAAACUCCCAAUAAUAUUUUGUUAAAAGGAGAUGAUACAAAUAAUUAAUUUCUUUUUUGGCGAUUAGGGUUUAGGAGCCUCCGUAAUCACUAAUGGAUUGGCACAGCUUCUGUUUUAGCUUUUAAAUGACUUGGAAGGGUAUGGAGCACUGUCGAGCUGUCCCAUGAAAUCCAACAUUAAUAAACAUAACCCCUUCAUGCUAGUGAGAGGUACUUAGUACUUUCAGAAUUAUUACGUACUUUUAGAGAUGCAUGGGGAAAUCAUUUUAAUAAAUGUACUUGCAUGAAGAACUAUACUUUAAUUUCAAGAAAAAUUUAAGUGGGAUAAUCGAUAAGUUAAUGAUCAUUAUUUUGAAUUGCACUUCAUGCAUACUUGAUAUUUCUUAAUUUAGACACGUUCAUUCAGUUACGACAUACCCCACUUAUAAGCAGUUUCAUUAAAUGACGUAUUUAUAAAAAAAAAUGUAAUAACAUUAUUAAAGAAAAAGUUGUUUUUUACUUAGCCAGCAUUACAAAUUAAAUUGAUAUGGUAAUAAUUUUUAAUUACUCCUCGAGUUUCUCUUAAUAGUAUUUUAAAGAGUACUUUUAUAUACGCACUAAAUCUUGUAUGAUGAUGCAGUAGGCAUUGUUAAGCAUGGAGAUGAUGACAUGACUAGCACUGUUAAGCAUGAAUUAAUAUAAACCACAACAGAGAGAAAGUCAGGAAUCCAUGUGAUUUCGCAUAGUUCUUGGAGAUCAAAUCAAUUUGACAUUGUGUUCCGUAGACGAAUAUGCAAUCGACUUGUCCAAAUUAAAAGUAGAAUAAGAAAAUGACAUCUUCAAGAAGCUUCAAAUGGGAAAAUAAUUCAUACCACUUUUGCAAUUUGCAUUAGCACAGACUUUGAGGUGGCAUCAUCAAUUUAGUCACACGUUGACCAAAAUUCAUAUAAAAAUUUGAUAAAUAAAAGAGAAAAUGUCUAAGAAAAAAAAUGGUACCAUAUAAGAACUUCAAUUGUAGUUAGAAUAACAGAUUAAUUAAAACUGGAAUUAAUUACAGAAUUUGAAGGGAUUACAAUGAAGUUACCAAAUUUGUCAGCAAAUAAAACUAAUAAUUUCUCUUUAUUUGAUUGCUCCUUAAUAUUUUCUUUAAAUUAAAGAAAGAAACUCAAUCUUAUUAUGAAUCCGCAAACAAAAAGGCGCGUAUCACCUCGCUAUUUAACGACCCUUUCAUUUGCUGACGCACACUCCCCCGGCAAAACAAUCAUUCUCUCCCACGCUCGUCACCGGCAUUUGAACUUCACUCGCCCAAAAAAUACGAGAAAGAGAAAAUUUUGGGAAAAAAAAACACCUAAUAGAUUUUGGUAAUCCCAUGUGCCGGACCAUUUUAAUUAAAUUCUUACAAGGUGCGAGUAUUAACCUUUUCAGCAUCAAUUAGUAUAAUUAAUGCACCAGUAUUAUGUAUUCAUCAUAUAUACUAAAAAUUAAUAUCAAUUUAUACAUCAAAUCACACAAGUUAUUGUAUAAAAUUUAUUGUAUUUUUUGUAUACAAUUUUAUUGAGGUCGCCUUUUAGUUGAGCAACAAUUUUAUAAAGCUACAUCGCUUAUAAUAAUUACUAAAUUUAGUAAAAUAUUCAGUUUCACAUUCGACAUAAGAUUUAUCUUUUUUUUUUUCAAAUUUUCUAAAAUAACAAUGGGAAGAAUUUAUAUCACUUUUUUAACCUAUUUUUUUCUUAGAAUUUGAGAUCAGUCAAAGAAAAUUAGUUUACAAUUAUACAUUCAAGCUCCGAAGAACCGAACACAAAAUUUAUUUGCUCUUAUAUCAAUUUAUAUAAAUUUAUAAACAGAUACAAAUAGGCGUUGUAAGCACACACUCCAGGAAAGGGCGCGUAAAGGGGAGGAAGAGGAACCGGCGAAGUAUAAGGAGGAUAUAAUCAUAAUCUAUCUGGUACGCACAUUCAGUAGAUAGUGGAAAGGUGACAAGAGUAAAUAUGUCUUGUAAUAAAUAAUAAUAAUAAUAAUAAAGAUUAUUAUAAUAUUACGUAAUCUUUGACUCCAUGUAGCUUAUGAUAAACACAAAAACAUAUUCUAAUUUAUACCCAAUUAUUAGUUUUGUAAUAUAAUUUUUGUUUUCUUAAAAAUAAUAACAAAUGGGGAAGUACUGUUUGAGGGACUCUUUUAAGCUGUCGUGUUGUUAGUAUGAUUCUUCUAAGAAAUGAUGGGACUUAAACUUGUUGGGGUUUUGAUAGUGGGAGGAGUUGAAGAACAAGAUAAACGGUUGCUCUUGCUGGUUCGGUUUGCCUUUCAUUUGUUGGGAGUUGUCGUUUUGGGAGCUGUUUGUGGUUGAGGUUGAGGAGAGGGAGGGAAGAUUUUUAGCGGGAAAUUAAUUAAAGUUACUCUUUGACUCUCUCAUAUAGUCAUAUGCAUGUAUUGUCAGCAACUUUUGAAUUGAAAGGUUUGAUUUCUGUUUCUGUUUCUGCUUUUGUUUUGUGGGUGUGAUUGCUUUCUUUUUCCUGUUUGGUUGCCAAGAAAAGGGAAGGACAUGAAAGAAAGUUUAAAAUAUUGCUUUGUUUUUGCUCUGCUUUUAUGACUAACAACAAAGGUUUCUUUUUCUUUUUUUUCUUUUUUUGAGUUUUGUUAAGGUAAAAGAGGUUUUGCUUUAUUAUGUGUAUUUAGUGAUGAAUAUGUUGAAAGGUAGUUUGAGAGUAGAAAUUAUUUCAUUUCGGUUAGCUUAAAGUUCUUGCACUUGUUACAUUUUCUUGCUUUGAUUACGCUUUUGGAAAUAGUUAAGCUGGACAUUCAAUUCCAGUUUCUACUUGUUUCUUUAUUAUAUAUGAAUGAAACGGUAACUUGUUUGUCAUGAAUGUUCCUAUUGGAUUCAUCUACUAUUUGGCUUAUUGAAAUUGAAUUUCUUAAUUGCAAGAGAAGUGAAUUUUUUUUUUUAAUCCUUUUUUAUGUAUGCCUUGUUUCAAAGCUUCAAGAAUUGUGGAGGCAAACAAUUUGAAGGGUUGUUUUGCGGUCUAUGAAAUGUUGAUUUAAGUCCAACUGCUGAAUUGGCAAUUUUAGGUGUGUAGCCGCUCUCUGAUUCUCACUAGUUCUUGUUUGAACCUGUUCUCUCCUAGUUUGCUGUCACCUCACCGCUAUCUCUGCUUGCACGUUCGAAGGAAUAGCAAGCAGAAAACUACAAAAAGGAAGGGGUAGCACAUUGAACCUAGAAAAGAGAGUUGAGGGUUGGAACACGAGUAUAACAAAAAUUCUUGGGAUUAUUUGUAUUUUGUUCAUUUUAUAGAGCAGUUGAGUUGACAAGGGAAAUUUUUACCCCCCUCAAUUUUCUUUGUGGGGAACUUUAUGAUCUGCCUCCAAAUUUUGAAUUAUUAUUAUUUGUUUAUAUUUUUCUAAUGAUUCUGAUAUAUUUUAUGAAUGAUUUUCUACAUACUGUCAUAUUCUUUUAAGUCUAGAUAGCAAUCAGAAUUUGUGGUGCGUACAGGUCCACCAUUAACAAAUAAAUGGGGACAAGCAAACAGUAAACUUCAAUUAUGGAAUGACUUGGCUGUUUAGAGCUGAUCUGGACCUUUAAAAAAAAUUAAAUGAAAAAAAUGUAAUGAUUAUUGUCCAAACUUUGGAUACACUUGGCUACAUGCUGUGUGUUCUGCAAAAGCACAUUUGGUCCAAGUUGCUUCUAGCUUGUUGACUGGCUUUUUUAGCAACUUAGUUGGUUUGUAGUAGUUACAAAAAGUGCUAUUCAUUCUCUAUUUGUUUGACAGUUUGGAUAUACUGUUCCAUUUUAGACAUCAGGUUAUUAUAAUGCUGAAGAAGCGCUAAGAUUGUUAUGCAGACUUAAGAAAAAUCUGCAUUUACAAGUCUGGUGGUAUCAAUUCAUUUAGUUUCUUGGCAAUAUCAAAUAAUCUGAAAAUCUUCGUGACGUUUGUUGCAGCAAUUGACAGAUGACAUAGCAAACAGACGAGAAGGAAAAGGUGCUGCAAGUAUAUGAUGGGGUGUCCAAGAUAUUGACGCUUUGUUACUUCGUGAUGUUUUAGUGACUUAAAUUUGUUAAAUUAUAUGGGAGAAAAAAAAAAUUUUAUGCCAUUCUUGGAUUUCUUGUCUUUUGCUUUUUGACGUUAGCGGCUAACUGGUUCUAAUCAUGAGCAUGGAAUCCCAUAAUUUUAUAGCCCGUUAUAUCAGUGACCUUCUGUCAGAGCCUUUUUCUUGUUUCACCUUUGAAGUGGAGAGUGCUGUUUAAUUGAAGUCUUCCAUUAGCUGUUUAAUGUUUCUUAUUUUAGUUAUAAUUGGAGACUGCUGUUCAAUUUGAACCUUGUAGGUUCCCAUUACCUCUUGUGGUAUUUUCAUUCCACCGUUUUAUCUUUAUGUUUAUGCCUAUAUUUUGUUACAUAUGCCAAAAGCUUAUUUGACCUGAUCCUGUUAUUAGUUUGAAGAGCAUGAACUCUCCGUCCACCCAGUAUGUCACCCCAAGAAGGUUGGGCAUUUAUGAGCCCAUCCACCAGAUGAGCACAUGGGUAGAAAAUUUUAAGAGUAAUGGCAAUCCAAAUACAUCAGCACCUAUAAUUGUGGAGGUGGAUACAAGACUAGACAAUCAGGUGCAAAUUAUGACCCUUAUUCUUUUUGAUCUGGAAGUUGAGGCGAUGUUUCCAAACUGAUUCAUAUUUUUCAUUCAACUUUCUAGUCAGAGGAUACUUCUCAUGGAUCGCAAGGACCUUUCUGCAAGUACGAACAAGAAGCAAGUAAACCUUUUGACAAGGUAAGUUUGAUGAUCAAGGAUUUCUUCUCUUGUUCUAAUUUAUAUAGCUUCGAGUUCCUGCUAUUUAUCUUUCUACUUAGAAAAUAAUCCACUUCCUCUAGAUUUACACACAACUGAUGUACACAGUCUGAAUUUGGGGAAAUAUAAGGAAUGGCCAUUGUACCUCAGAAACUAACAGUAACAGAAAUUUUCAGUUAAAGUUUUGUACGUUCUCCUUUCAAUGAAUUCUCCAAUCAUAUGCUGAUUCUGUAUGUUUGUGCCUCAUUCACUUUCUCAUUCAUUUGAGUAUAAACACCCAGAGACUGACACAAUCAUGACAUCUAAGUGAUGUAGAACAUCCUGAAGAUGUAUGUGUGUAUAAAAAUGGAAGUUUCCUUUUUCUCCUUAUUGUAAAUCUUAUAAUAAAUGAAUCAAAGUUUGGAAUUUUUUCCAUUUCUUCCCUCCUAUCCUGUCUAAAUUUCUCCUAUUUCCUUCUAAAGUUCUCUUAUUUCUAUACUAUUAAGUCUUUCAUUUUCAUGUUGUCUUCCCUCAUCUACCUCUGCUCAAGACAGUUGACUGAAGUUUCAGCUAGUAUGAGGGAGGAGUUUCUUAUGGCUCUCCUUCAUUUUAACUGUUGAGAUUUAGUUUGGACACCUUUUGGUUGUUGUAUAAUAGCACGAUUUGUAAUGAACUGCCUUUUAGUUCAUAGACCUUCCUCUAGUCAAUGCAUACAUGAUAAUGGUUUACCAAUUUUAUCCAUUUCGUGAAUGUUUCUCUUCAACAUGAGAUGAUUCUGGUUUGCAUCUUUGUUGCUGAUGUUUGCAGAUACAGAGACGUCUUGCACAAAACCGUGAGGCUGCUCGUAAAAGCCGUUUGCGGAAAAAGGUAUAAAGGGGUCUGAAUCCAAACAGAUAUAGUAUGUGCAACUAGAGGUUUCAAACUUUCUGUUUGAUUAAUCUUUUGUUUGCAGGCCUAUGUUCAGCAGCUAGAAACAAGUAGAUUAAAGCUAGUUCAGCUGGAGCAGGAGCUUGACCGAGCUAGACAGCAGGUGUGGAGAAGAUGUGCCUUUUUUUUUUUUUUUUUGAAUCUAUUGCCAUGAUGAUUGAAGAGGGCCCUUUUCUCCUCUUAAUUUAAAAGUUAAAAAUGUUUGUAUAUUUCAAGUGGUAAAUGCUGCACUGCAGGGUCUGUAUGUAGGUAGUGGAGUAGAAGGUGUGCAUAUGGGGUUCUCUGGAACUGUAAACUCAGGUUUGUUUGUAAAACUGCAGCAUUUAUGAUGGUCGGUUUUGAUAUCUUUCCUUGUCAAAAUUCUGUAUGUUGGUUUUCAUGUCCUCGUGCACAAACAUUGCUAUGCCUUAAAAAUUGCUUGUCUCUGAUACUUUGUGGUUAUUAUGGUAUUUGACAUUCUUAAAUGCCCGAUAUAAAAUGUAAGGCUGUGGCAUUCUAAUCGUAAGCUGUAGUUGCUAUUCUUAUGGAGUAAGAAGAAUGCCGCACAGCCAAGUUUACUGUCAAAUAGUCCUGCUGUAAAAUAGUAUCUGGAAGCAUUUGAGGGCUAAUACAUACUAUCUGCCUUUUGGGUCCCUGGAAAUUCUCUUUGCUCUUCUAGAAUUUUGGAACUUGAUUGAGUAUUGCUUGAGGACCUCUAAUAUCCUCAAUCUGUUCCACUAAUAAAUAGAUAUGUUUUGUUUAACUGGAAUUUUUAGGAACUAGUUGUGAACACGGUAUACUAAAUUGUAGUGAUUUGUAGCCAUAGCUAAAUUUUAUGUAUAGCAAUGUAAUUUUGUUUUAGAAUUGUCUAAAGAAAAAUAAUUAAACUUUGCAUGGGCAAUUAAAGUAAAACUUAUUCUAAUAAAUGUGGUCAAAAUGUACAUGAAAUAUAUUUAUGCUCCUAGCUUACCAUCGCCAUUCAUUGUAUAUCCCUUUGUUUUCAUUUCCUGAAGCACCUGUUGCUUACAGCGCAUUGUUCUUUUGUUCUCUCGUGUUUUUGCAUUCAAUAAUUAGUCGUCAUUGAGAAUUCUGCAUGGUUUACAGCAUUUGAGAUGGAGUAUGGACACUGGUUGGAAGAACAAAGCAGACAAAUUUGUGAACUGAGGAAUGCUUUGCAAGCACAUAUUGGUGACGUAGAGCUCCGCAUUCUUGUAGAUGCUGGCAUGAGCCACUAUUUUGAACUUUUCCGCAUGAAAACAACAGCUGCAAAAGCAGAUGUCUUCUAUGUAAUGUCUGGCAUGUGGAAAACACCCGCUGAACGUUUUUUCUUCUGGAUAGGAGGAUUCAGACCUUCAGAACUCCUCAAGGUAAUUCUUAUUUCUUUUUCUUUUGUAAUUGAAAAAGUUGUCUUAUUUGGUGCAUAGGGCAUGUUGAUUUUGUGGUAGAAGCUGUGGGAUCUAAAUGUGCUAGGCUGAAUUUUAAGACUUGGCAUGAUUUUCAUGCCUAGAUGUUGGAAAAAAAAGCACCAUUUAUUAGGUAUUAUAUUUUCAUAUAGACAAUUCUUUAAUUUAUAAGCACAUCACCGACCUGCACCUACCCAGUUAUCUAUUUUUUUCUCUUAUUAUUUUCAAACUGUGACGAUCAUGUUAGGGUUUCCCAAGUCUUUGUAAUUUCAGUAAAGUAUAUGGUCGUAGCCUUUUUCUUAUAAUAUGGUCCUAGUUCUUAAUAUGUUAAAAACUUCUACACAUUUAUAUAAGCACGUGUUUUACUUUUACGCUUAUUUGAAAAGGACUAAAUUUCACUGAAUGUCACUAACACAUUUGUGUUUUUAACAGGUUCUUGUUCCUCAGCUUGAACCCUUGACAGAGCAGCAACUUAUUGAUGUUUGUAACCUAAGACAAUCAUGUCAGCAAGCAGAAGAUGCACUUUCGCAAGGCAUGGAUAAACUGCAGCAAACGCUUGCUGAGACUGUAGCAGCUGGUCAGCUGGCGGAAGUUGGUUACAAUCCACGUACAGGUACUGCAAUGGAUAAAUUGGAGGCUCUUGUCAGUUUUGUAAGCCAGGUAAGAAUCUGCAUUCUCUCAUUGCCCACUCAAGUGGUUUUCUUCCAUUUUCUCUUUGCACUUCCAAAUUCCAAUUUCUUCUUGACAUGUUUAACAACUCGACAAGUUUUUGCACUGCAGGCUGACCAUCUUCGCCAGGAAACUCUGCAGCAAAUGUCUCGUAUCCUAACAACUCGUCAGGCAGCUCGAGGGUUGCUUGCUUUGGGUGAGUACUUUCUUCGACUCAGAGCUCUGAGCUCACUUUGGGCUAAUCGUCCUCGGGAGCCCACCUAGCCUUACAGCUAGCUCGCACUCUCUGGGAGAUCAAUAUUUACCGGUUGAACAUUGUUUCCGGAAUCAGUGGUACAUCUGGGUAAUGUUGUCAUAAACAAAGUUUCCAGAAAUCUAGCUGCUGACAUUUUUCAAGCAGCCGCAUGCAUCCCGAGGAAUUGUAAAUACAAAUAGCCCUUUAAUGAUAGAGGAAAUUUGUAAUUAAAUCAAUUUUCAACGCGUGUUGUACAUUCGGUCAUCUUGGAACAGUUUUCUUUGGGUAAUAUAUCCCAUCUACAGAUGGAACUUUGUUGUGUAAAUUUUUGUAGUUUCCCCUUCCUGCUCUAAAUGUUUGAUUAAUAAACUGUCCUUGUUCAGGAAUGAGCAAGAGAUACUUAUGCUGGAAAAACCAGUGAAAUUUAAUGAAGUUUUGCUUAGUCAGUCCGUGAGCAUUAGUUGUUUCUUUUCUGAAGUUCACUAGUCACUACUAUAUUUAGGCUCCAUUUGUGAUUGCUGUGUGAUCCUAGCUUAAUUGCAAAAUAAUUAAAAUUUGCAGUAAACACCUACUUAAUAUUUAUCAGACGUUCAUCUAUUUUAACUUGGUAGUUAGGGACAGGUAGAUUAAAAAGUCACACAGCACUUCAGUUUCAAAGAAGCAGAAAUUGAAAAUGGGACUUGGGCAGCAAGAGGAAGAAACAACACACAUCCAAUUCACUAUGUUAACAAUGAGCUGAAAUGUCUGGACAUUCUGCUUGAUAUUAUUGAAACUAAGCUCUCUGUAGAGUCCGAUAUUCAGAGGAUUUGAAAUGUUACAUGAUUUUCCCCAGCUUGUAACAGAUUUAUCUUCACAACUUUGACAUGGAAUAGUCCAAAGGAUAUUCAGAGGAUUUGAAAUGUUACAUGAUUUUCCCCAGCAUCAACUAGAAAAUCUGCGUAUUUCAUUACAUGGAAUAGUCCAAAGCAUCAACUAGAAAAUCUGCGUAUUUCAUUAAAAAAAAAAAAAGGUAUGAUUAUUUUCUAAAGUUUUGAGUUUAAAAAAAAAAGAAAAAGAAAAUUAAUCAUUAUUGAAAAGUUUGUUCAUCAGGAGGGAGCUGUAACAAGUACCUGCAUCAUCUUUUGUAAAACACAUUGGUGGCUUAAUUCUGAAAACAUUUCCAUGUAGUCCUCCUUUGCCAAUGAGAACACCAAGUUCUUCAAUCAGAGACCAGUCAGCAGUUAGCAUCGGAGGAAAUUUGAAGGGGAGUGUAAUUCAUGGCACAAGAUGUUAAAAAAGUAAUGAAAAAUGAGCAACUUUUUAGUCGCAUGAGGUUAUGAGAGUUGUUGAUACCUCUAAGCUUCUCGAAUAAGACUGCAGUUUCUGCCUUGGCGGGUGUCUUCUCCUGCCUGUCAGUUACCAAUUCCAUCCCCACCAUUAGGCCUCUCCCUCUCACAUCUCCAAUGACUGAAUCAAGAUUUUAAGAAAGUGUGAGAAGAAAGCAUAAUGAAAUCACCACUCCGAAGAAACUACAUUCAUAUCAACUUAAUAAAUAGUCGAACCAAGGUCAAUAGAUAAGAAAAGAAAGAAAUGGACUAGUUCAAGAGCAAUUACUAUCAUGUCUCUCUUGUAAAGUUCUCAAGCGUCCAAGCAAGUGAGAACCAACAUCAGCACAGUGUGCUUGCCGCCUUUCUUUAUCAAUGACCCUGAGCACAGCAAGUCCACCAGCAGAACACACCGGGUUUCCACCAAAAGUGUUAAACUGAAUCUUUUGAGCCAUUACAUUUGCUAUUUCUGGUGUGGUCACUACAGCUCCUAAUGGCAAACCAUUGCCAAUUCCCUGAUAAAUGUUUUUAGUGAAAUGUAAAAGAAUGAUAGCAUGAUGAUACUCAAACAUAACCAACUAAAAGAAACGUCUAAGAAUAAGGACAUUGUAAUAAAUGAGAGUUUUAAGUUGAAACAAACGGUUUAUCUUAUCUUAAACAAUCUGUAUAUAAACCUUUGCCAUGGUAACUAUGUCAGGAAUAACCCCUUGUGUCUCAAAACCCCAGUAAUGACUUCCUGUGCGACCAAAUCCAGUUUGUACUUCAUCAGCAAUGCAGACACCUCCAGCCUUGCGCACAAUGUCAUAGACCAGUUUUAAGUAUCCAGGGGCUAAUUCAACAGCUCCUCCAACUCCCUGAAGCCAUUCAAAAUUUAGUAACAAAAAAUUAAAGCUACAAAUUUCUAGCAACCAAUUCAGGGUUGCCCUAAAUGCCAAAUUUACAAAUGUUUGGGAAAAAUUAUAGAUGGCACCUGAAUGGUUUCAGCAAUAAAACCAGCAACUUUUCCUGAAGUUCCAAAAUCAAUGUGAUCUUGCAAAUCUUGGGCAUAGCGGGCAGCAUCUGAACCAAAGCUUCCAUGAUAUGGAUCAGGAUUUACAACAUGAUGAAUUUCACCCUGCAAAUGGCCAGAGUGAUUGGGUAAGUUUCAACAAAUUAGCAUGCCUUGCCUGGUACCUUUCUCACAUACCCUAAGAGAAUGUAUGCCAAUCCAAAUGCCAUGCUAACUGUUUGUACUCCGAAAACACAAUUGGUAGACAAACCUGUGGAAUGGGAUAUUUCCAUGUAUUUAGAGCUGUCAGUCCAAUUGUACCAGAACUUCCACCAUGAUAAGCAUUUCGCAGGGCAAUCAUGCCAAGAUUACCUGUGGAAAGUCUGGCCAUUAGCAUUGCUAACUCAUUUGCUUCGGUCCCAGAAUUGACAAAAUAUACAACCUGCAUUUCCAAUUGAAUUAGAGGAAGCUUAUGAUACCCAGUUUCUUGGGGAUUUAAAUUUGUAAACACAAACAUGUCCGGGACGAAUUACAUAAAACACUAAACUCAAGAGAGAGAACCUUUAGGUUUCCAGGCAUUUUCGAUGCUAAAGCCUCUGCAAAAUCAGCUAUGGCAUGGUGCAAGUAUAUGGUUGUCGCAUGCUGGAGAAGCUUGCUUUGCUCAAAAAUAGCAUUCAGAACAUCAGGAUGACAAUGACCACAGGACACAGUAACUAUUCCAGCAAAUGCAUCCAAAUACCGCCUACCAUUCUCAUCAAACAGAUACUGCAUCUUACCUUCAACAAUAUUAAGCUGUAUAAUGAAAAUUAACAAAUUAGUGAAUUGCGUUUGUUGAAUAUCUAACCAGAAAUUCAACGUUUUAAGAAAUUAAGUACAUUGAAAUUGACCCACAUCAAGAUUAAUUCCCUGCACUGAUCGUUACCAGCAAAAUCAUAUAUUGGAGAAGUAUAUAUUCUAUCAAACCUUCAUUAAAACAGCAUUUAAGCUUAAUAAUCUCUAAGAAAUUACAAAUAACACAACUUAUAAACCUAAUAAAUCCACCUAAAGAUUAAAAAAUAUAUUUAUGAAAAAGAAUUCACAAGUUUUUCAUAUUAGUGCUAUAGAAGUCUAAAAAGCUCAAACUUUUAAGCUCAAAAAGAAAACUUUCAUUCAUUUUAUUACUAAAGAAAGAAAAAGAAUCCCAUUAGGAAAAAAAAAAGGGAAAAAACUAACAGGUUUUUGAUAAUAAUGAAAAAUAGAGGGACCCAGAAAUUGCUUUCGCUUUUGAAACACUUGAUCAGCCGAGGGACCCGUGUAAGGUUUAGGAUCAUGAUCAAAAGGCGGCAGCUGCGGAGGAGUAGUAGCAACAGCAGAAGCAGAAGCAGCAGUUGAGAAAGAAGUGCAAAUAUUCAACUUGGCUUUGGAUUCCUUCACAGUUCUUUUCAAGAUUUGUCUCUGCAAAAACGCCAUUGGAUGGAUGAUGAUGCAGAGAUAAAGAAAGAAAACAGAUUUUUUUUUUUUGAUGAAAAUAUUUCGAAUUUUUAUUUGUUUGCCAAAGUAUGGAUUGAAAAAUCGACAAUGGAAGUUGAGUGGAAAUGGAACGCUAACUGAACAGAACAGUUAACUUCAAAGUUAAGUGAGUGUGGAACGGAACAGUGUAAGAUUUUAAUAAAUAUAAUUUGGUGAUUUGGCGCUUGUUACAGAACAGAAUAGAUUCUUUGAUGUUGUUUUUUGUCGCACACAUUAUUUUUAUUAAUCUUCACAACCAUUAGCUACAAAAAUAUAGUUGCUAAACUGAUCUAUACUCAAAUCGUUCAUAAUUUUUUAUCACACGUGUAUAUAUAGUAAUAUAUAAUAAGAAUUAGUAAAUAAAAAUCAAGUCAUUAUCCAUUUAAGUACAUCUUAUAUUUAGACGUUCAAUGUCUUCUCUCACUCUCCCACACACAAAUUCUUUAAACCAACAUGUAAAAAUUUUAAUAAGUAUAGAACUAAUUUCGUAUAAAAAUAAAAUUUUAAUUUUUUGUGUUAUUGCUACUUUGAUAGCUAAUUUUUUUUAAAUGUAUUUUUCUUAAAAACACUUCUAUGUAAGUUUAUCUAAUUCAAAUUUUCAACCUUCUUUUUUAAUUUGGAAUUGCGAAAAUAAGUUAUAAUGUUGAGUUUGAAACCAAAGCUUAACUCUAUUGUCAUACCCAGCGUUAAGAAAACUUAAAUUCAUAUAACGUAUGUGUUUUAACAGAAUUAUUAUUAUUAUUAAUUUUUUUAAUACAUGUUGAGUAUAAAACUGGAAAUGUAGGUAGGGAUGGCAAAAAUCUCCAUGGGGACGGGUACCCUCAGAAAUUUUCUCUAUUCACGGAGGGUAUGGGGAUAAUUUCGCAGCUCUGCUGAACCGUACAUCCGCCUUGGCCGUACAGCAGAUAAUUUCAUACCCAAUUUCUUAUUCGGGGAAGGGACAAGGAAAUUUUUUUACCCAAUUUUUUUAUUCGGGGAGGGGACGGGAAUGAGGUGGAAUCCCCAUCCCCUACCCAUUUCUCCAUUUUAAUUUUUAAUUUUAUUUUAAUUUUUUAAAAUUACUAUUAAAUAAAUAAUAAAAUUAUAAAUAUUGGUAAAAAUAAAAAAAUCAAAAUAUUUAUAUUAUUAAACUUUUGGGCCUAAUUAACUAAUUAAAGUCCUAAAUUUUUAUUUAGGACAUUAAAAAAACCGAGUAGAUUCUAUUAGCCUAAAAUUUUUUAAUUUUAAUAUUCUUUAAAUAUUUUAAACUUAAAUCUAUUUUUUAUUGACUUAAAUCUAUUUUUUAUUUAUUUUUAGAUGUUAUAAUUGCCCACAGCGAAUCACAAUUUUAAUAUCUAAUAUAAUAUAAUAUAAUAUUUGCUCUUGAUUUACUCCGAUUUAACUAUUGUAUUGUAAAGAGAAUAGUCCACAUUUAUAAAGUGUCUACACCACAAAUUAAUAGUCCACAUUUAAAUUGUUACAAAUAAAUUCGAUUUUAUUUGUAACAAUUUGGUAUUAGACUAUUAAUUUGUUCAUGAUAGUUUGUAAAAAAAGUUUGUAUCUCUUGCAUGCUGCAUUACUUACUAAUUUAAUAUAUGUGACUUUUGUAAUGGAUAUUAAUGUAAGAUAUAUUUCGAACUUUACUUUUAUUUGAAUUUUUUAUUUUAAUAUGAUUAAAUCAAAAUCGAAAAAAAAUGUAUUAGUUAUUCGGAGAUCGGGGACCCUUUGGGAUCCCCUGUUAUUAUUCGGGGAGGAGAUAAGGAUUCUCUCAAGUAAUUCUGACGGGGACGGCGACAUACGCAAAAUAUCAUAGAUGGAUACGGGGAGAUUGGUCCCCUCCCCAUUGCCAUCCCUAAAUGUAGGUAAAUGAAUUAAAUGCAAUCAUAAUAAGCUGUCAUUCAUUGUAUGUGUAUCUUUAAAUAUUAGGAGAAUAUUCAUCAUUGCCCUAUCACGCCAACCUCUCAAUGAUCGUGCUUAUAUAAAAAAUCCCACUAAUUAUAUUUUAAUUUGAUUGGAUUAUGAUUACGAGUCGACUCUUAGUAAGACUAAGCAUGAUAUAUAAACGUGAUUCCCUUUAUUGUUAUUUUUAUUUUAUUAUUUUUAAGUUCACAAAUAGAUAAGCCCGACCAAACGUAUCACGUCUAUAUAUAUAUAUUUUUUGCCUAAUAAAAAUUUAAUCUCCUUGUUACUCAUUGAGUAGGAUUCGCGAUUCAGGAUUCUGAACACAUCUGUAUUACUGUUGAGGGCAAAAAUAUAAUUUCAUAAGGAAACCAAAUGCGUACGCUAAGGUGGAGUGGAGCAGGAAAAGAGACAAAUCUAUGCAUCAAAAUUCAAAAGUGGCCUCUUCCUUUGCUUUCAUGCGUUACGUAACCUAAGAUGAGUGUCCAUUUCUGUGGUUUCUCUCUCUCUCUCUCUCUCUCUCUCUCUCUUUAGAAUGGUGUACAAUCUUCUUUAUUGUGACGUGUUCCAUUUUCUCUCUAGAAAACUGAAGCAGAUACUUUCCCUCUCCAUAAAAUUUAAAAAAUACUAAACUUCUCAAAAAUCAAGGUAAUCAACAUAAUAAAAAUGAAAGAUUCAUGUUUUAAGUUUGUUUACCGUGAAACAUGCAUGUACCCAAGCUCCUGUAACUCAGUGGUUCACGAUGUUGCUAAGAUGGUUCUUGGUCAAUCAGAGCCUUAUACAUGACUGAAACAUAUGUCUCCGUGAAACAUGUACACACUUCACAAUUCACCUGUUUCCUUCUCUUCUUUCUCAUAGCUCACACAAACAACUAACAAGCAACAACAACAGGUCAGCACAACGGCAGGCCAGUGACAUCAUAACACUUUGACCAGAUUUGUUGCGCCAACGACCAGAUCUGCUGAUUGUUGCAUCAAUGGUUGCUCCACUUCACUUCGACUGGAUCUGCUCUUUCCGCAAUCACCAACGAAACCUGCAAAGCCAUCAACGAGACUCGCUGCUGCUUGAUCUAUCGGCUUCCGCUUAAUAUGCGCAAAGCCAUCUACAGUUGUUCCAUCGAGGUCGAGACCGAUAGCCAUCAUCACCAAGUCCUCCGAGCUCCCGAAAUUUUUCAAUUCAUAUUUCAAUUUUUUAUUUAUGAAAAUUAGUGGAUACAGACUAAAAUGAGGUAAUUACAUAAAAGUAAUCUUGUAAUAACUAAAUAAUUAUAAAAAAGCCUCAAAAUUAACAAAAAUAGCUCAGAAUUGCCCUUAAACCGAUUGUCCCAAACUCAACACGAAUUUUAGAUCCGAUCUGAUCCAAUUUGAGUAUAAUCGAAUCCGAUCAAACUUGAAAUUUAGGUUAAAUUCAGAAGAGUUUUCCCUAACCUAACCAACUUGAAAUCUGAUUGGGUUAAUUCGAACUCGAUUUUGCCUAGUCCUAGUAAAGAUAAAAGAAAAAAAUAAAUAUAAGUAGGUGUGUUUGGGACUGGUUUGCGACAAUUGAGCUACUAAGUUGUUUGGUUACACAUUGUAGUUCAGCUUUGGUAGCUCAGUAAUUUUUUUCUCCUAGCUAUGUAUUAAGAUUAUUAAUUUCUAUUCCACAGCUAUAGUUUUUACUCUAUAACAACUACUAUUAGUGAUAUGCCCUGAAGGCCAAUCAAAUGGCGCUUGCUUUUAGGGAAUUCUUGUAUUUAAUUAGUAUUUUUAUAUUUAUAAAAUGGCAAAGUUAUCAAUAUUCAUUAAUUAUAAUAAUUAAUUUAGUUCAAGAAGUAAAAUAGUUAAAGAAUACAUUCUCGAGAUUGUCGAGAAUAUGAAACGUGUAUCUUUUGUGCCUUUGUACUAUAUUUUUAAAAUAGUUCCUCUUCCUAGCGAUAGAUUUAUGACUCCUUUCUGAUAUGUGAUACUAAAAUGGAUGGUGAAUUUCAUAUCAUUAACAUGAAAUGUCAAGUCAAACAUAUAGGUACUUGUUGCAAGAACAAGUUUACUAAACUUGACCAAAUAAUAAUAAGCCAUAUGGUUUUGAGUGUUAAUGGUUUUCUAUAUAUUGUAACAGACACUAUUUUAGUAAUGGUCUUUAGACUAAAGGCAUCACAGUGUCUUGUAAUAGACAUCUAUUUUAUGUGAAAGCAUAAUGAUUGAUUUCUAAUCAAGGAUGAGAUCCAACAAUAGCUGUCAUGGUUGGCUGUGAAAGAAGACAAGUAUAUGGCUAAUAUGAAAUUCAUCAUUUUGUAAUAAACAAAAAAAUUGUCCCUUGUAAGUUAAUAUGGAUUGGCAUGAGAAAUUCUUGGCCAAGGUGAAAUAUAUUUGAAGGCGUUCAAAUUACAUUUUUUAUGCCAAGUUCAUUUAGAUUGAUUUUGAGAUAAAGCAUAAGUGCGUAACACACUAAACCAUAAGCCAUGCUUUUCUCUGGACAUAGAUAAUGAAGAGACCAUAACAUAGAGAAACAAUGAAAUAUGUUCAACAAAUCCAAAAAUUCUUAUUAAUUAGAUGGUUCUGAACUACUAUUAAGUAUUACUCAUAACUUGUAAAAACCUUAAGAUCAUUAGUGCUAAAGAUAGAAACUUUAAGAUCAUUAGUGCUAAAGGGUAUUAGCAAUGCAUCUUAAGGUCAUCAGAAAAGUUAUAAUCGAUGACUAAAGAGAUUAGCAUCUUUUAAUAAAUAAAGAGUUAUCAUUAAAAUGGUUAUACUACUUUAUAAUAAAGAACUUAAAAUGCCACACAACUAAUAGAAAUGAAAAAUAAGUUACUAGAAUAUGAGAAGCUAAAUUUUCUAAUUUUAGGAAAAUCGAUAUUCAUUAAAGAAUAAAUAUAUAUCUUAAAUAUGAUUUAACAUAGAAAAUUUGAUGUUCCAUAAACAAUUUAAAGAACAAAAUAAAUUUCAUAAAUCCUUAAUCAAACACUAGGAUUAAAAUCAAGCAUGUAAAAUAACCAUAUUGGUCAUGUUUCGGUUCAUGAAUGAUUAUGGACUUCUAGACCAAUUUUGGGUAUAGAAUUUUGGGCUUUUAUUGAACCUAAUAUGGAUUACAAAAAAACAUAAAAACAUGUCACAAAAAAUAAGCCCACAAUUAGCCACUUGAUUUUAUAAAAUAUGAGCUUAAUUUGUUAAAGACAAAAUUAUGUAACUAUGCUAUUUAUUUAUUCAAAACUAAUUUAAUUAAAUAAAGUAUUAGAAUGAUCAGAUCACAUCCAAUAAAGAAAAACUUAGUGAGUGGGUCUAACUCACGAUAACGUUUGGUGCCAUUAUUCAAAAGCGAGCGAUAAUUUUGUUUGGUUAAAUGAAUGAUCAUGAACUAGUAUUCAUGUUCUUCAUUAUUUCUCUCAUUGCAAAACGAAUUUUGGUGAUUCUAAAUCCUAUUAACUCUUAUAAGAUUUAUAAGUGUAGACUAAUUAAAGGCAUCACAAUUGGAGUGUUUUAAGAAUAUCAAAUCACACAAAACAAAAAACUAUUUGUUCGGUGAUGUGUUUCCUAGACAAUGUUCGAAACUUUCUAUUUUUGGUGCUUCUUACCUCACGAAAUUGUUUCUAAAACUACAAGUGAGUAAUUAAACUUUAGUCUUUUCUCUUAAUUUUCGAUUUUGAAUGAAGCCUACCGGAGGUUUUUAUAACUUUCGCCAUUCGUUUUAAUUUUACUGUGCAAAAGUUGUGUUUUUAAAAAUCUUAUGGACAAAUGUUAUCCUUCAACUAUAUCUUAAAAUAUACAACACUUCACUACCAAUCGUGUCCUUAUUUUAUUUGUAUUUAUUCUUAAAUGUAAUUGUGAUAGAAUAAGAAUUCUACAAGAUUAACGAAGAAGUAUUUAUGGAACUUCUAAUGAUACGACUGUAACCAUUUUUUUGCCUUUAGCUUACAAGCGGCAUUAUGUCCAAAAAAAAAAAAAAAAAAACCUUAAAAGCGGCAUUAUGUGACAAGCCCACAAUGUGAAAGGAACAUUUCAGCCCACGCUGAAAAUUCACUGCCUUUUGAAGGACCCCUAAUGAGUUGGUCCACCAGGCCCAAUUCCCAUUCUCGCGCCCACCAGCUGCUUGACCAAAUAUCUGAUAGAAGAGGAAACAUGGGCCAAAAGAGGAGCAUAUAUGUAAGCAUCUCAUGAUCGGAUACAUGUUCAAUGUUGAGCCGAGUUUUGAUUGAGCGAUAAAUCAAUGGUUAUUAGAUAAAAUAAAUAAAAAAAAAAAAUUUAAAACAAUUCUAAUCAUUAAUUUAAGCUCAGCUCAACACUGAAUUUAAUCCCUCGUAAUCCUUUGCUCUUACUUGGAGAGGAAAAGGCAUGGAAAAAAUAAAAGAAGAAGCAAGCCAACACCACAACAACGUCAACUCUAAAUUGAAAUUCCAAACACUUGCAACGCCUUGCUGUGCGGGGAGGCAGCUGCGGCGAAGCUUAUGCUCCUUCUUCUUUGGCAGUGCUUUUUGGACACCGUUUUUAGCUUCUGCCAACUAUGCCUGGGAUUGUUUUCUUGCCAAAGAUGUGAAACGACAAUUUUUCAGCUUUGAUUUGACUGCGGCAUUCGAAUAGAGAAGUCAAGACAUAGAUGCAAGAAGCCUUAAACUUGUGUGCAGAAGAACAAGACAGUGCAAGCAUAUACCAGAUUUCAAAUGCUGAGCUGAUUGACUGGCAGACAAUGUCACAAAGAUGCUGUUUUCCAGUGGACCACCAAACAGCGGAUUUCCAAACAAAGGUCAUCAAAGUAGACAUCUGGAACAUUUAACAGCUGACAAAUAAAUGAAAGGGAAUUUUUUACAUGUUAAGGAACCUAUGGAUACCAUGAACUUCUGUACAAUGGAGAGUUGGGAUUUUCCUUCAAAUCAAAUAUCCAAUCCUUAAGCUACCAGUAGUCACGACAUGAACACAGCCCUUUCUUGAAAUGGUGAAAUCGAGUAGCAUCUCUCACAACGAUCUCUCUGUCCACAAGUUUGCAGAUAAAUUUAAUGGCCGAAUGACAGUCAUUGCAGACUCUGAGGUUCUUCAUGAUCCUCAAUGUAGUAUUCUCCGGAGUACUUAUUAGACCAAAUGCAAUAGCAAGUUUCUCGCUGUGAUGUCUAAGCAUCUGCUCCUUCACAUCCUCCUCAACAUCAUGCAAUACAGACGCAGUGUCUGGAACAAAACCCAUCUCUUUUAUUUCGUCCCAUAUUUUUGCCAUCUUAUUGUAGAUUGCAUCUCUCUGAGGGUGAAGCCAAUCUUCAACUCCAAAGACAUGAACUUUGUUCUGGAUUUGAACCCAACUAAAUCCUUGAGUUUUCUUCACACCUACGUACUUCAUUGACUUUCUAAUGUUAGCCGCAUCUUCCCAUUUUCCACAGGAUGAAUAUAAAUUACAGAGGGCUGAGUAGGCCCCACUGUUGUCAGGCUCAAUAAGAAGCAAUUUCUCUGCUGCAAUUUUUCCAAGGUCCAAAUUCUUAUGAACCCUACAAGCAGACAAAAGUGAACCCCAAGCUACUACAUCUGGUUCAAGUGGCAUAUUUUCUAUAAAAUUAUAUGCUUCUUGUAGCAAACCAGCACGCCCUAAAAGGUCAACCAUACUCGCAAAAUGGCUUGGGGUGGGUUUGAUUUUGUGCACAUUUUUCAUCAUAUUAUAAUAUCUCCGCCCUUGUUCCACCAAUCCCCCAUGGGUACAGGCAGUGAGCACGCCAACAUAAGUUAUAUGGUCCGGUUUUAUACCAAGUUCUAACAUCCUCUCAAACAGUUGUAUUGCCUCUUCUCCAAGACCAUGUUGAGCUAAAGCUACAAUCAUAGAAGUCCAAGAGACAGUCUCCUGGCGCCAAUGAAUAAGAUUAAAUACUCGCCUUGCAGCAUUGAUGUUUCCAGCUUUCGAAUACAUGGUGAUUAAAGCAUUGCUCACAGACAGUGAUGAUGCUUCUCCUGAUCUUAAGGCGCUUGCAUGAAUUUGUUUGCCAUGGUCCAAAGAAGCCAAGCUUGAACUGACACUCAACAUGGCUGACAGAGUGUAGUUAUUUGGCUUGGGGCCUUCUCUAACCAUUGAUCUGAAAAGCUCCACGGCAUCUUUAUUCAAGCCGUUCUGCUCAUAUCCCACAAGCAUGGCUGUCCAUGCAACCACAUCACGAUCUCUUAAUGAGUCAAAGAUCCUUCUAGCUGGGCCUAUAUCCCCAAUCUUGAUGUACCCAUCUAGUAGCGUUGUAAAUGCUAUAACGUUAAGAUACGAAAUCCCACUCUGCUCUACAAUCUUUUGAGCAAUUUCAACCCCACCAACCUUUGCAUAGCAUGAAAUCAAAGCAUUUCCCAC